AAAAAAUAAAGAGAGGUCAACUCAAUCUUUAUCAAAUGAAAUUAAAGUUUAUUUUAAAACACAAACAACUAGUUCAUUGAAAUGAUAACUUGUUUAGUACACAAACAAGAUCUUACUUAAUACAUAGAAAUAAGAUCUUACGGAACAUAGAGAUUAAAAACAUAGGAACAACAUGAAAAGUUUUUAAAAUGACAUAGAUAUUGAUUAACAAAGAUAUGAACUAGUUUCGGGUAUUUUUUAACCAUCCAUCAAGGUAAACUUGUUUGGAGUCAGGGGUGGAUUUUGGUCUAAUAUCUUUCAACCAUCCAUCAAGGUAAACUUGGUUGGAAUCAGAGGAGGAUUUUGCUUUUUCAGCUCGAGUGUCUUUCAACCAACCAUCAAGAUAAACUUGUUUGGGAUCAGAGGUGGAUUUUGUUUUCUCUGCUCGAGUAUCUUUCAACCACCCAUCAAGGUAUACUUGGUUGGAGUCAGGGGUAGAUUUUGUUCUCUCGUUUCGAAUAUCUUUCAACCAUCCAUCAAGGUAAACUUGGUUGGAAUCAGAGGAGGAUUUUUCUUUUUCAGCUCGAGUGUCUUUCAACCAACCAUCAAGAUAAACUUGUUUGGGAUCAGAGGUGGAUUUUGUUUUCUCUACUCGGGUAUCUUUCAACCACCCAUCAAGGUAUACUUGGUUGGAGUUAGGGGUAGAUUUUGUUCUCUCGUUUCGAAUAUCUUUCAACCAUCCAUCAAGGUAAACUUGGUUGGAGUCAGAGGAGGAUUUUUCUUUUUCAGCUCGAGUGUCUUUCAACCAACCAUCAAGAUAAACUUGUUUGGGAUCAGAGGUGGAUUUUGUUUUCUCUACUCGGGUAUCUUUCAACCACCCAUCAAGGUAUACUUGGUUGGAGUCAGGGGUAGAUUUUGUUCUCUCGUUUCGAAUAUCUUUCAACCAUCCAUCAAGGUAAACUUGGUUGGAGUCAGAGGAGGAUUUUUCUUUUUCAGCUCGAGUGUCUUUCAACCAACCAUCAAGAUAAACUUGUUUGGGAUCAGAGGUGGAUUUUGUUUUCUCUACUCGGGUAUCUUUCAACCACCCAUCAAGGUAUACUUGGUUGGAGUCAGGGGUAGAUUUUGUUCUCUCGUUUCGAAUAUCUUUCAACCAUCCAUCAAGGUAAACUUGGUUGGAGUCAGACAUGGUUUUUGUUUGCUUUGCUCGAGUAUUUUUCAACCAUCCAUCAAGGUAAACUUGGUUGGAGUCAGAUGUAGAUUUUUCUUUCUCAGCUCGGGGAUCUUUUAACCAUCCAUCAAGAUAAACUUGUUUGGAGUCAGAGGUGGAUUUUGUUUUCUCUGCUCGGGUAUCUUUCAACCAUCCAUCAAGGUAAACUUGAUUGGAGUUAGGCAUGGACUUUUCUUUCUCGACUCUGAUAUUUUUCAACCAUCCAUCAAGAUAAACUUGGUUUGAGUCACUUGCAGGUUUUGUUUUCUCAACUCGGGUAUUUUUCAACCAUCCAUCAAGGUAAACUUGGUUGGAUUCAGAGGUGGAUUUUGCGUUCUCUGCUCUGGUAUCUUUCAACCAUCCAUCAAGGUAAACUUGGUUGGAGUUAGGUGUUGACUUUUCUUUCUCAGCUCUGAUAUCUUUCAACCAUCCAUCAAGAUAAACUUGGUUGGUGUCACCGGUAGAUUUUGCUUUCUCAGCUCGAUUAUCUUUCAACCAUCCAUCAAGGUAAACUUGGUUGGAUUCAGAGGUGUCUUUUGCUUUCUUUGCUCUGGAAUCUUUUAACCAUCCAUCAAGAUAAACUUGAUCAGAGUUCUGGGAGGAUUUGGUUUUCUCUGCUCGUGUAUCUUUCAACCAUCCAUCAAGAUAAACUUGGUUAGAGUUAGCAAUGUGUUUUUGACUCUUCAAUGGAUUUUUGAGCCAACCAUCAAGGUAAGGUUGAUCAACUUGUAUUUCUUGUACAUUCUCUUGCUGAAGUUUGAUAUAUCGGGCAAAGCUUCCUUGUCCAUUCUAUAAUACAAUUGAAUAAAUGGAUAUUAGUGAGUUAUUUUUGGAUGGUAUAUAUGAUUACAAAAACAAAAUAAUGUGUUUUAUAAGACACAUUAUGUUGCACAGGUGAGACACAUUCAUUAUAUAUUUCAGAUGGAUACAAAAUGUGAAAUAAAAAUGAAAGAAAAACAAUUUUUAAAAUUUCAUUGCGGCAUAGAAAACAUUAUUUUAUCAAAUCAAAUAGAACAACUUGAUUGUAAGUGAAUGAUGAAAUCAAAUCAAAUAAAGAUGAGAAAUGAUAGAUUGUGAUAAAUAAAUGAUGAAAAAUAUAAGUGUAAAAGAUACAAGAAUGGAUGCAAAGUUAGUAACUUACGAUCAACAAGAGCAUGAUAAAAGGGAGGAGAAACAAAACAUCUUUGUGUGUCAUUUCUUUAAUGUUAUGAUUUUGUGGGAAAAUUGUUUUAAUGUGAAAAGAUGUAUUGAAAUGGAAGUGAAUUGGGCUAUUUAUAAGUGAAUGAAAAGAAAAACUACAUUAAGGAUAUUAAGGACAUUGCGACUUUGGUUGGCAAGAUUAUUUUUUAAAUAUUUAAUUUAUUUUAUUUUUUAAAUGUUUAGUUUAAUUUAUAAGUUUAUAUGUCUAAGAAAGAUCAAUUUACUUUUUCCAAGAUCUAUUAGGUGUGUUGUUUUGAGUUAUAAAUAAAAAAUUCAAAAAAUUGUUUGUUUGGUAUCAUUUUUUUAAUUAGAAGCUCCUAACUAAAUUCUCCAGGUUUAAAAUAAAUAAAUUUUAGAAAAGCUACUGCAAUUAGUUUUUUAUUUUAAAAUUAAAAAUGAUUCUCUUAAAAACUUUAAUAAAAACCUAUUAAAAUGAUAAAGGUGAUUUUUUAAAUGUUAAACAAACAUUUAUUUUGAUAAGUUAUUUCAAAUAAUUUAAAAUUUCAUAAAUUUAUUUUAAUUUAUAAUUGAAGUGGUAAUUAUCAUAAUCUCGUCUCUUGAGUUCUAAUAUUUGAGCUAAUAGUAUAAAUAUUUUUUAGUUGAAUUAAAAUUUGCAUUAAUGAUAGUUUCAAUUUUACAAUUAAUUAAACUAAUUUAGUAGUUAAUUUUAUUAAGUGUAAUAAAUGCAAUGAAUUAAUUUAACUACAUCCCCUUUAAUUCGAGGUGGGUGUAGGUAUUCCGAGACAUUCAAAUUUGAAGACUAAUAUAUAGAUUAAAAUUAUUUAUUAAUUUAUUUAAUGGUAAUUACAUAUUACAAAAUUUCAUUUUUGGAAAAAAGUUAUUAUUUUAAUAUUUUAUAUUUUUUAAUAGUUAUUAUUUUAUAAAAUUAAUUAUAAUGAGUAUAAUAUUUUAAUUUUAUUAUCAUCAAAUAUACACGACAUCAAAAUUACCAAACAUGAAAUCUAAAUAUAGGGAUCCAAUUAAUUGAAUUGGAAUUUACAUUGUGAAUCAUGAGUCUUCUGCCACCAAUUCCUAGGGACUCACUACCUAGCAAACAAUGAAUACAAAAUAGUAUCACAAGAAACACUAAAAUACUGUGUUGACCCUUGCAUGUUUAAGAUGUUCACAUGUAGCUAGGGUUUGGGUGGUUAUGUAGUUAUGCUUACCUAAUAGUAAGACUGUGUUGACCUUUGCAUGUUUAAGAUGUUCACAUGUAGCUAGGGUUUGCGUGGUUAUGUAGUUAUGCUUAUCUAAUAGUAAGUUAAAAAAUUGUAGUUAUCUAAAAAGUAAUAAAUUAUUAUAUUGACCGGUCUAAAGAGAAGAUAGAUAAGUUANGUAGUUAAUUUUAUUAAGUGUAAUAAAUGCAAUGAAUUAAUUUAACUACAUCCCCUUUAAUUCGAGGUGGGUGUAGGUAUUCAGAGACAUUCAAAUUUGAAGACUAAUAUAUAGAUUAAAAUUAUUUAUGUUCGUCUUAUAUAUUUUUUUUUUAUAUUUUAAUAUAAAUAUUUAUUAAUUUAUUUAAUGGUAAUUAUAUAUUACAAAAUUUCAUUUUUGGAAAAAAGUUAUUAUUUUAAUAUUUUAUAUUUUUUAAUAAUUAUUAUUUUAUAAAAUUAAUUAUAAUGAGUAUAAUAUUUUAAUUUUAUUAUCAUCAAAUAUACACGACAUCAAAAUUACCAAACAUGAAAUCUAAAUAUAGGGAUCCAAUUAAUUGAAUUGGAAUUUACAUUGUGAAUCAUGAGUCUUCUGCCACCAAUUCCUAGGGACUCACUACCUAGCAAACAAUGAAUACAAAAUAGUAUCACAAGAAACACUAAAAUACUGUGUUGACCCUUGCAUGUUUAAGAUGUUCACAUGUAGCUAGGGUUUGGGUGGUUAUGUAGUUAUGCUUACCUAAUAGUAAGACUGUGUUGACCUUUGCAUGUUUAAGAUGUUCACAUGUAGCUAGGGUUUGCGUGGUUAUGUAGUUAUGCUUAUCUAAUAGUAAGUUAAAAAAUUGUAGUUAUCUAAAAAGUAAUAAAUUAUUAUAUUGACCGGUCUAAAGAGAAGAUAGAUAAGUUAUUAUAAUCAAAUAUUAUCUAAAAAACAAUAAAUUAUAAGGAAUAUAGUUUCAUUAUUUUUAUGUUUAUUUAAAAAAUAUAAAUAUUUUUUAAAUUAAUGAUAAAUAAUUGAUUUUAAAUGUGAUGAUGGUUUAUAUCUUUACAUAAGAAACUAAAUGAUAAAAUGUGAAUAUUCAUAUCUAACAUUAAAUAUUUAUCUAAAUAUGUAGGCCAGCCUCAUAUUUAUUGUAAAUUUUUUAACAAAGCUUUUAAUAAUGUAAAUUAGAAUAAUGUAGGCCAGCCUCUCUAUUUAUAUAAAAAAAAUAUUUUUUAAAAUAUUUUUAUAAUAAAAAUAUAAAAUUUGUCACAAAACAAUUUUAUUAUUUUAUUAACUAUAAAAAUAUAGGUUAUAAAUCACAUAUUUCAUUUAUAAUUCAUUAACCAGUAAAAUACGUAAUAUUAAUCAAAUUAUAAUAUUAAAAUAUGAAAUACACAAUUUGCUUAAUUAUUAAUUAUUAUAUUUUAUAUUUUAAUGUCAAAAUUUAUUGAUAUUAUUUAUUUUAUUAAUUGAAUACAGUAAUAAAUAAAAUAUAUGGUUAAUCACCUAUAUUUUUGUGAUUAAUAUAAUAAUAAAAUUAAUUAAUAACAAACUUUAUAUUUAUAUUAUAAAAAUAAUUAUAAAAAUAAAUCAAAAACGAGUUUAAGACAACAUAGGAAAAAGGGAGACUCGGAUAUCGUAUCUCAAAGACGGUUGAAUUAUUAUUAAUAUACUGGAAUCGAAUUGGGGGUUUAUAUUUGAUUCAUAAUAAAUGAUUAUGAAAAGUGAUUAUAAAAUAAGUUGAUUUAUUGAUUCGGUUCCUACCUACCAUUGAUUAUUAUAGCGCGAAUGAAAGUGUAAGAAUUAUGUUUCUUAUUUGCUGAAUUAAGCAAUCAGUUAAGAUUAAAGCGAAUUAACGGAUUAAGCAUACGUUAACACGCAAUCAAAAUUAGGGAACAAUAAAUAUUCAAAUCAAACAAAAUUACUAAGUUUGAAAUUGUACCUCAUUCAGGUCUUGGUUCAAGCAUCCCUAUGUGCAUCACAUUUAACUUUGCAUAGGCCAUGAACUCAAGUCUUUUGGUAUGGAAAAAUGCAUAGAUCCAUAUGCCCGAUUCACUUCAUUCAUAUGAUGCAGAUGAUCAAGGAUGAUUGAUCCAUUUAAGACUUAGUUCCAUUGGUUCAUUCUUUGUUGCUUAAGAAAUCUCAGGGUUUUACUAAGAAGAAAGAGGUCGAGACCAGUGUCGUGAUAGUAAAUAUCUACCCUCAAGUUCAAGCACCUAUGACUCAUGUGUCAUACUACCCUUAUCUGUACAUUGUCGCUGCUCAAUAUCAGCAACCUGCAUACCAACCGCAAUAUCAACAGCCUCCAUGGGCUCCAAUUUCUCAGAAUCAACAAAAUAGCAGAAACCAGAGUCUAGGUCAGGGCAGACGUUAUGAUAGAAAACGUCCUCAGCCUGACCAUAUCCCUGUAUCAUACACUCAGUUGUUGUCGUAUCUUGUCCAGUAAGGAGCAAUUGCGCCAAAAGAGAUUCCGCCUGCAACUCCUCCCUAAAAUCACAAGCAUAAUCCUAAUGUGUCUUGUGCAUUUCAUGUCGGAUACAUAGGGCAUUCUACAGAGGAUUGUUUGGUCCUCAAGACCAUAGUACAAGAGUUAAUUGAUCAUAAGGUUUUGUAAUUCUCUGAGGCAGGACCCAAUGUCAUAACCAACCUAUUGCCAGACCACUGUGGACAGAUAGUGAAUGCAGUUUAUGGCGAAGAUUCCUCAGAUUCAGUUGAUUCUUCAGAGAAGUACUGAUGCUAGCAAUAUCAUAUUGAUUCAAUCAUGUAUCAUUUGUAAUCUUUUCUUGUUUGUUAAUUGUUGUUCAUUUGUAAAACUUGUCUGGUUUUUCAGAUGAUAAUAAUAAUGAAAUAAGCGUGCAUGUUUUGCUUAAAUCCAUUCGUGUUCACUCAUAUUUUAUUUUAUCAGUAUCAAAUUGUUUGUCGAACAAAAUCAAAAGAGAAUGAUGAAAUUAAAAAUAUGCAAGAUCGCUGUUUGUAUGCUUUUGAAUAAGAUCAUGUUGAUGAUGCAAGGCAUUGUUCAAUCCCUAAACACCGGAGAUAUAAGGAAGAUAAUCCCUAGUCAACCCAUUUGGAUGUUGUAGUAGGAGUUUCUUUCUUUAACACAUAAAAUCCUCAUGCUUAACUAGGGGCAGGGUAUUCUUCAUUUAGUUUAGACUUGCAUUCAAAUUUCAGAAGGAGAAUAUCUCAUCCAGUGAUCAAUCAUAUCAUAUCCCUCUCAAGAGGAUGGAAUCACAAAUCCAGGAUGGUUAUCCCUUACCAUUCAAAAGGAGUGAGAUAGUCACGACCCAUGCAACAAAUCAAGAAAGUCGUGUCACACGGUUUUCUCUAGUACAAAAAGAAAAGAUGAAAAAAUUAAAAGUCCGCUAAGUCAAAAACUUGAAAACAAGAUUGACUUAUAUGUGUGUGUUUGGGGUGAGUCUGGAGAUGCACCUUCGAACUUCGAAAUGUGUGAGCUUUUUUGUAUUUUUCAUCUCAUGCCCUAGUAAUAUAUAUGGUGCAUUAAAAAAUAUCCAUAAAUUAAGGGAUUUGGUUAACACACUCUUAGGAUUGUUUUUCGACCCUUGUGAAAAAUCAAAACUACCUUUAGAAUUCAGAAAUAAAUCUUUGGACGCACCUCAAACACACACACAAUCAAUUCAUUUUUGAGUCAUGAAGUUAAUUAGGAAAUGCAUCUCCUUAAAUAUUAACGGGGGUGUAUUUUCCAAACCUAUUGAACCACACAGAAUUGCAUAAACCAAACAGAUGCAGAAAUAAAGAUAAAUCACAUUGAUAACAUGAAAAAUGAAAUAUUACAUAGAUAAUCGUUAACAUAAAUCGAACUUUGCAUUUGAACAUCAAGAUGGACGUUUCAACAUAUUUAUAAUAUCUUUUAUCGAUCUCGCAAUCAUCGCAUCCAACUUGAUCAAACAUUUUAUUUCGUAACGGUUAAAUGUAUUUCACAUAACUCUUAAAUCCGCAUCCGUCUUCAGCUUAAAGUUGUUGAACUGAAUCUACCAUUCAUUAUCAACCGAGAGUGAACCUUACUUGAGUUUCACAAUUCUUCAAUGAACUUAAAUGCAAUUGAGGACUCCGCGUAGUUGAGUCAUAUUUCAUGGAGACUCAUAAUGCGUCCAAAAAUGCAUUUCCAAAAUUUUAGUGGCAUUUUUAAAUUUUUAUAGGAUGGUUUUCCAGCACUUAUGUAGAGAUAAACAAUUUCCUUAUUAAAGGUCUCUGAGAGGAAUUGAAAUAAAUAUAUUUAAAAAAUUAGUAUUAUACUUAUUUAAGGAAUAAAGUUUUCUAACCAAAAAUUUUUCCCUAAUUUUUUUGUGCCUAAUUUUUUUGCUAACAAAAUAGAGACCUGAUUAUAUUUCACUAAUUUUCAUUCAUCUCUCAAUUAAUAUCUCUCAUAACCCUCAUUAACUCUCAAUUAAUGUAAUUCAUAUCAAUUAAUUGUUUUUUGAAAAUUUUGUAUCCGGCUUCGGACCAACUAGUUUAGUGAAUUGCUAAUUUCAUCUUUAAGUGUUGGAAAAAUACCUUAUAAAAAUUUGAAAAUACUCUUCUGAUUCCAAAAAUGCAUCUUCGGACGCAACUUGCACCUCACCAAAACACGCUUCAACUUGUUGAUGUUUUUUAUGUAAUUCAAGUGGUGUAACUGGUUACCUCAUGUGGUGUAAACGGUUACCACUAAAGUUGAUUUAAUUCAAUAUCAGAUGUAACCGAUUAUCCACUUUUGUGUAACGAUUACAAGCUUAAUAUUUUGAUUUUUUCUGAUAUUUUACUUGGUCAAUUCAGUUCCCAAUUGUGUUGUAUCUCUUGUAUAAGUGUUUAGAAUGUACACUCAUCUAAGGUUAAUGCAAUAAUAAUCUCUCAUCCUCAAUUCUCCUCUUUCACACUCCACAUCCAAAGUAUCUCCACCAUUAUUCACCAAACUUGUGGUGUCCUGUUCCAACAUUUGACAUCAAGAGUCUGGUUCAGAUCCACAAACACUUAGUGUGCAACAUGAAUUAUGUUUCCAAUGAAAAAAUCCCUCCAAACCUACCUAUCCUUGAUGCGAAGAAUUAUGAUAAAUGGUACAAGGAAAUGAAGAUGUUGUUUGGCUACCAAGAUGUUCUUACAGUAACUCUUAAGAGAAAAUAGUUGUCCCUGACCUACUUUGAGUCUCCGUAGGGAAAUUGGACUGGCAAAGAGGGUAGAAGGAGGAAACUACUCAAGUGAGCUUGAAGCAACAAAGGCAGUGAGUUUAGUUCCCACGCGGGGAAGAACGUUUAUAACAAGAGCCAGGAAGAUAAAUUAUUUUAUAAUACCUUCUCAAAAGUAAAAUGAGCUAUGAGAAAGAGCAAGAAUCUCAAGCGAUUGGCUGAACUUAACCUAGCUCGAGCUACAUGGCGGUUGAUCAAGGGAUACCGGAAAGAGGCAAACAACAGAACCUCCGGGUUUGAAGCUUUUCAUGUCGGGGCGAGGUCAAUCAAGGGUUUUGGGUCAGUGAAAGCUCGAGUGCCCCCUUCAAAAGUAAGGUGUCGGGAAUGCAACCAGUGAGGUGACCCGUUCCGUUAGGGCGGAUGAAAGAAGUUAUCCUGAAGCAGCGUCAAAGGCCUCUGUAGGCCCUUCAACAGGAUUUUUUGUCGUGUAGCAUUCUGUUUUGGCUACUCACGAAACUCUUUAUCCUUAAUAGGAAGAACUCCCUUUAGAGGAAGGAUACAAAGACCAAGCCUGUCUUUCUCUCUUAAAAAGGGCAUAUGGGGCAGGGCAGAAAGACUAUUUUAGGGGACUAAUCUGCUAAUGAAUGAAGGAAGGAGAAGGCCUUAAUUGUCUAUCCAAAGGUCCGCCUUGGGUGGAUUUAGGCGAAUCAAGUGGGUGGGAAUGAUCCGAGCCCCCUAUGUAAAUUUCAGUAAGGUAACUAAGGUUUACAAUAAUUCAUUUCAGUAGUGCGUUACCUUGCAGCUCUAUCUAUCGGGUAGUCAGUCUCUUGGUCAAAAGCCGGUACCUAAUUCCCCUGCUGGUGGGCCGAUCCUCGUCUAGCGGUGGGAACCGGCUGGUAUGGAUCAAUUGCUUGCCCUGUCUCUCUUCUGUUCAACCAUCGAGAAUCCGCAGUUAUCUUUGCUCAUUGGGUGGGCGAAGGAAUCCUUUCUAUUGAAUAAGGGCUUUGAGAAGCAGGCCAUUCCGUUCCAGUUAGCACCGUAUCCCGCUUUUCCGAUAGCAAAGGGCCUUCUAAUUAGCGUGCUUUGCUUAACCCGGCAAGAUCCGAGAUCAGACCUAGUCCUGCUGACCCGCUACCCUUGAAAACAUACUUUUUGCCACCUUACGACUGGUGUGAAGGAACUUAUUGCACAUAUUUAACAUGGGGAAGGAAAGAGGAGGGAAUAAAGCAUAUUUUAGGCAUCGANUUAAGAAAUGUCCAUGAAUUAAGGGAUUUGGUUAACGCACUCUUAGGGUUGUUUUUCGACCCUCGUGAAAAAUCAAAACUACCUUUAGAAUUCAGAAAUAAAUCUUUGGACGCACCUCAAACACACAUAAUCUGUUCAUUUUGUAGUCAUGAAUUUAAUUCGGAAAUGCAUCUCCUUAAAUAUUUAUGGAGGUGUAUUUUCAGAACCUACUUAACCACAAAGAAUUUCAUAAACCAAACAGAUGCAGAAACAAAGAUAAAUCACAUUGAUAACAUUGAAAAAUGAAAUAUUACAUAGAUAAUCGUUAACAUAAAUCGAACAUUAUAUUUGAACAUUAAGAUGGACGUUUCAACAUCUUUAUAAUAUCUUUUAUCGAUCUCGCAAUCAUCGCAUCCAACUUGAUCAAAUAUUUUGUUUCGUAACGGUUAAAUGUAUUUCAGAUAACUCUUAAAUCUGCAUUCGUCUUCAGCUUAAAAUUGUUGAAAUGAAUCUUCGAUUCAUUAUCAAUCGAGAGUGAACCGUACUUGAGUUUUGUAAGAACAAAAAUAGUUCUACAAUAGAUUCCAUGAUUUUGAUGAUAACAAAGGAUGAAACCAAAAAUGGCACCCUAACGAAAAGUUUCUAAGUGUGCAGGGUUCUAAAGAAAGAAGAAAUAAAUCUGAUGAUGUCAUCAGAUGCAAAACAAGAUCAGAUGUAAAAUCUCAAGUAUCAGAAGCAUCUAAAGAGGAAUCUCAUUCAAGAAGCUCUGACUCUGGACAAAACUACAAAGUAUCAGAAGCAUCUGAACAUGAAGUAAAGUCUAGAAGCUCUGACUCUGAACAAAUGCCUUCUGUAAAUUCUGAAGUUAUCAGCGCCAUCUGAACUUUCAAGAGAUAACAUCAGAAGCCAGUUUCUCCAGAUACACAAAGACUCUAAUCAGAAUUGUUAAUCAUGAUGAAGUAACGUUUAAGCCAAGUUAAAGUUCUGCAAAUGGAUUUCCUCAAUUAGAAAGAGACGUUAAUCUCCACUUCCAAGAGAGAAGAUACUAAUUGUGGUAAGUAGUCACUUCUAAGAGAAAAAGUCUACUGCAGAAGCUAUUAAUGGAAUGGCGUAACUACAUCUCAAUAUCCAACAGAUUCAACGCUACUUCAACUCUACUUCAACUCCUAUAAAUAGAGAAGAAAUCUCAUUCAGUAAGAAAGAAAUCACUAGCCAAAACUAUACUGAAAUUAUAUCACGCUCAAGAAAAACAUCUUUGUUCUUCAAAGAUUUUCACUAAGCUUUUGCUUAUCAAGUGAAAAAUUUGUUCUUAAGUUUGUAAUAUUUGCUUUCUUAGAAGCACUCUAGAUUACACAUCUUGUAUCUAAUUUUUAUUUGAUUUCCUCAAGUGACUCUUUGUAGUCUGUAGACUUGAGAGGACUAAGAGAUUUUCUUCUCUCUUAGGGGUUGUUUGUAAUCUUUCAAGAUUAGUGGAUUAAGUCCUUGUUGAAGGCGAAAUCACCUUGGCCGGGUGGACUGGAGUAGCUUUGUGUUAUAAGCGAACCAGUAUAAAAUCAUUGUGUGAUUUUCUUUUGCAAAAGCGCUUAUUUUUCAAACAAUUCAAACCCCCCCUUUCUUGUUUUUCUCACCUUCAAUUGGUAUCAGAGCUCCGGCUCUGUUAUUGAUUUUCAAAUCAAACACUUAACCGUGUAGAGAGAUCCAGUGCGAGAAAAACAAAUGGCCCACUCAAAUGAGAAAGAUUCUUACAAUGCCAAGCCUCCUGUUUUUGAUGGAGAAAAGUUUGAUUACUGGAAAGAUAGAAUCGAAAGUUUCUUUCUGGGUUAUGAUGCUGACCUCUGGGACAUUGUCACAGAUGGAUACAAACCUCCAACCUUAAAUGGAGCUGAAGUUCCCAGAAGCAAAAUGUCAGAAGAUCAGAAACGUGAGUUCAAAAAUCAUCACAAGGCCAGAACAAUACUUCUAAAUGCUAUAUCAUACAACGAAUACGAAAAGAUCACCAACAGAGAGACGGCUAAAGAUAUACUUGACUCUCUGAAGAUGACCCAUGAAGGAAACUCCCAAGUCAAGGAGACGAAGGCUCUGGCGUUGAUCCAGAAAUAUGAAGCCUUCAAGAUGGAAGAUGACGAAGCUAUAGAAGCUAUGUUUUCCAGAUUCCAAACUCUUAUUGCAGGUCUUAAAGUGCUAGACAAAGGAUACACGACUGCAGAUCAUGUUAAGAAGAUUGUCAGAAGUCUGCCAAAGAAAUGGAGACCUAUGGUUACUGCUCUGAAGUUAUCAAAGGAUCUGAACAGUAUCAGCCUUGAAGAACUUGUUAGUUCUCUCAGAAGCCAUGAGAUAGAACUAGAGGAGGAUGAGCCUCAGAAAAGGAACAAGUCAGUGGCGCUGAAGUCCAGACCUGAAAGACGGAAGUCAGACAGAACCAAAGCUCUCCAGGCAGAAACUGCAGAUACUGACGACUCUGAACCUGAAGACUCUGAUGAUGAAGAAGAACUGUCCUUACUAACCAGAAGAGUUAAGCAACUCUGGAAAAGAAGGAACAACAACAACUUCAGAAGAUCAAGACCCAGAGGGGAUAGAUCAGAGUCAACUUCAAAAGGUAAACCUAAUAAAGAUAUUACCUGUUUUGAAUGUAAAGAAACAGGUCAUUAUAGAAAUGAAUGCCCCAAGCUGAAGAAAGAUAACUCUAAGAAAGAAAGCUUCAAGAAAAAUGCCUUCAGAACAAAGAAGGGAUUAAUGGCCACCUGGGACGAUAGUGAAUCAGGAUCAUCAGAAUCUGACUCUGAUGAACAAGCCAACGUAGCAUUUAUGGCUACCACAUCCAGCAGCUCAGAUGAAGAAUCUGAAGAGGUAUUUUCUGAACUUUCUAGAUCUGACUUAGAAUCAUGUUUAUCAGAAACUCUUACCUCUCUUCAGAAAUUAAAACAAAAAGUUAAAAGCAUUAAAGGCCUUCUUAAAGCAAAAUCUGAAGAAUGUAGUGAACUUGAGACAACAAUUCUAGCACAUGAAGAUACAAUCAAAUCUUUAACGUUAGAAAGAGAUGGAGCUAAAACAAAAAGCUUAAAAUUAGAAGAAGCGUUGUCUCAAGCACCACAAACUUCAAAUGAAAUUAUUUAUAAAUAUGAAGAAGCCUUUCAGAAGUUUCUGAAGAGUGGAAUAGAUAGGAGUAUUAUGGCAUCCAUGAUUUAUGGAGUAAGUCAGAAUAAUAAAAGGGGAAUUGGGUAUGAUUCUGAUUCUGAUAAAACUUCUACCAGUAACCAAAUUAAAUCACCUUUUUCAUACCACUAUACACACACACAAGAACACAAAUUUAAAAAUGCUAGAAGACCCAAAGUUGUAAGAAACUCUGGGAAAACUAAUCUGAAAGGACCCAAGAGAUUCUGGGUACCGAAAGAUAAGAUUAUCUAUGUUGCAGAUAUCCUAUGCAGCAAAGUUCAGACACCAGUCAUGGUACCUGGACUCUGGAUGCUCGCGACAUAUGACGGGAAGAAAGUCUAUGUUCCAAAGCCUGGAACUUAAAGACGCUGGCUUUGUAGGCUUCGGAGGAGAUCAGAAAGGAAGGAUCAGAGGCUCCGGAACUAUUGGUAAUGGUACUCUUCCCUCUAUAUCUGAUGUUCUUUAUGUAGAAGGAUUAAUGCAUAACUUGUUAUCCAUAAGUCAAUUAAGUGAUAACGGUUAUGAUGUAAUCUUUAAUCAAAAAACGUGUAAAGCCAUUAAUCAGAACGAUGGCUCUGUCCUUUUCACAGGCAAGAGGAAAAACAACAUUUAUAAAAUAAAUCUUUCUGAUUUAAAAGAUCAAAAUGUUAAAUGUUUAAUGUCAGUUCACGAAGAGCAAUGGGUAUGGCAUAGACGCUUAGGCCACAUUAGCAUGAGAAAACUUUCUCAGCUAACUAAACUUGAGUUAGUCAGAGGCUUACCUAAACUGAAGUUUUCUUCAGAUGCUCUGUGUGAAGCUUGUCAGAAAGGAAAGUUUUCAAAAACAUCUUUUAAAAAGAAAAAUGUUGUUUCUACCUCCAAGCCUCUGGAGCUUCUUCACAUUGACUUAUUUGGUCCUGUGAAAACAGCAUCAGUCAAUGGAAAGAAGUAUGGACUAGUAAUCGUUGAUGAUUACAGCCGCUGGACAUGGGUAAAAUUCCUAAAGCACAAGAGUGAGUCUCACUCUGUAUUCACCAGUUUCUGUUCUAAAGUGCAAAAAGAAUUUGACUCUAAAAUUGUUAGAGUCAGAAGUGAUCAUGGUGGAGAAUUUGAAAAUAAAGAUUUUGAAGAAUUAUUUGAUUCUAAUGGAAUAUCCCAUGAUUUCUCCUGCCCUAGAACUCCACAACAAAAUGGAGUUGUAGAGAGGAAGAAUAGGACACUCCAAGAAAUGGCCAGAACCAUGAUCAAUGAAACAAAUGUAGCAAAGCACUUUUGGGCAGAAGCUGUAAAUACAGCGUGUUACAUUCAGAAUAGAAUCUCUAUUAGACCUAUUCUGGAUAAGACUCCCUAUGAACUGUGUAAGGGAAGAAAACCCAACAUUUCAUAUUUUCAUCCUUUUGGAUGCAUUUGCUUUAUAUUAAAUACUAAAGAACAUCUGAACAAGUUUGAUUCCAAAGCACAGAAAGGUAUUAUGUUAGGAUACUCAGAACGCUCUAAAGGCUACAGAGUAUACAACACAGAAACCAAAAUUGUGGAGGAAUCAAUUCAUGUUAGAUUUGAUGAUAAGCUUGACCCUGAAAAGUCAAAGCUAGUUGAAAAGUUUGCAGAUUUAGAGAUCACUCUGGUAGAAUCUGAGAAAACUCCAGAAGCAACUGUCACUCCAGACUCUGAAGAAAUUAAAUCUCCAGAAAUUCCAAGGAAAGUCAAGAGUCGUAGCAACGUAUCUGAAGAUUUGAUUUUGGGAAACAAAGAUGAACCUGUUAGAACCAGAUCUACCUUCAGAACUUCUGAAGAUAUUCCUCUGGGACUAGUGUCUCUGAUUGAGCCUACGUCCUGUGAUGAAGCUCUUCAAGAUAACGAUUGGGUGGCAGCUAUGCAAGAAGAGUUAGAUCAAUUCUCCAAGAAUGAUGUCUGGGAUCUCGUUCCUAAACCCAGAGGCACUCAUGUCAUUGGAACCAGAUGGGUUUUCAGAAACAAACUGAACGAGAAAGGAGAAGUUGUCAGAAACAAAGCACGACUGGUAGCUCAAGGUUAUAGUCAACAAGAAGGUAUUGAUUAUAAUGAAACUUUUGCUCCAGUCGCAAGGUUAGAAUCUAUUCGUCUUCUUGUAUCUUUUGCUAUUAAUCACUCUAUCAAAUUAUACCAAAUGGAUGUCAAGAGUGCAUUUCUUAAUGGUUAUAUUUCAGAAGAAGUGUAUGUCAAUCAACCUCCAGGUUUUGAAAAUUCAAACUUUCCAGAACAUGUUUUCAAACUUAAGAAAUCCUUAUAUGGACUUAAACAAGCUCCCAGAGCUUGGUAUGAACGCUUAAGUAAUUUUCUUCUGGAACAAAAUUUUAUCAGAGGGAAAGUUGAUUCUACACUCUUCUGUAAAAAUCAUAAAAAUGAUCUCAUGAUAUGCCAAAUUUAUGUUGAUGACAUUAUUUUUGGUUCUGCUAAUAUCUCUGUUUGCCAAGAAUUUUCUAAGUUAAUGCAGGCAGAAUUUGAAAUGAGUCUAAUGCAAGAACUAAAGUUCUUUCUGGGAAUUCAAAUUAAUCAAACUCCAGAAGUCACGUACAUUCAUCAAAGCAAGUACAUUAAAGACGUUCUGAAGAAGUUUGAUAUGUCUGAAUGCAACUCUGCAAAGACUCCUAUGCACCCAACUUGCAUUCUGGAAAAGGAAGAGGUAAGCAACAAGGUUUGUCAGAAGCUCUAUCGAGGUAUGAUAGGCUCUCUUCUCUAUCUGACUGCUACUCGUCCUGAUAUUCUCUUUAGCGUCUGUCUUUGUGCCAGAUUCCAAUCAGAUCCUAGAGAAUCUCAUUUAACAGCUGUUAAGAGAAUUCUUAAGUAUCUGAAAGGAACUCCUAACCUGGGCCUGAUGUAUGAGAAAACAUCAGAGUAUAGGCUUUCUGGUUAUUGUGAUGCAGAUUAUGCAGGAGAUAGAAUAGAACGAAAAAGCACAUCUGGAAAUUGCCAGCUUCUGGGAAACAAUCUAAUCUCCUGGGCUAGCAAAAGACAGUCAACUAUCGCUCUAUCAACUGCAGAAGCAGAAUAUAUCUCAGCAUCACUGUGCACAACUCAGAUGCUCUGGAUGAAACAUCAGCUAGAAGAUCUUCAAAUCUUUGAGAGUAACAUUCCUAUCCUUUGUGAUAAUACUGCUGCUAUUUGUUUGAGUAAGAAUCCUAUUUUACAUUCCAGAGCCAAACACAUAGAAAUUAAACAUCAUUUUAUUAGAGACUAUGUUCAGAAAGGAAUAGUAACGCUGAAGUUCAUUGAUACAGAACAUCAAUGGGCAGAUAUCUUUACUAAGCCUCUAGCUGAAGAUAGAUUUCUUUUCAUCUUAGAAAAUCUGAACAUUAAAAAUUGUCCUGAGUAAAAUUUGGCUCUGAACAUGUAAAAUGAGACUCUGAUAAAAACAAAUACACUUCUGCCUCUGACUCUGAUACUUCUACCAAGUUAAGAAGAUAUCUGAGUUAGAAAUCUUCAGAAAUCCUUUGGUAUUCCUGAAGAUCAGAUACAUCAACACGUGGGGAACAUGCGUCUAACCCUAGAACUUCUAGACAGCUGUCAAAAGAAAUCAAAGGUCAGAACGCUUGAAAUCUCCUCGAGCAGUGUGCUUACUGUUGGGAUUAGACAUUCAUUAAUUAGCUAUAAUCAUUUUUCCCCCAAACGUGCUAUUUUGGUUUUUGUGCUAACGCUGGUAUGUGUGUCGUUUUGCAUGUGUUUUUACCCUUAGUAUAUAAACACUUUCUCUCACUUUUCACACUUAUCACUCUCACUCACUCUAAAACCCUAAACCCUUCUCUGAAAGUUCUCUGCAAGUUCUUCAUCUUCUUCAAUCUCCAUCAUCUUCAUCAACAUGGACGCUCAACAACAAGAACUCUUCAACCAUUCUCAACAAGUGGAAUCUAGUUCCAAUCCCCAAACCUCAAACACUCAAACACCCACGGUUAUAAGCGUCACCACAACCCCAGUUUACAAAGAACCUCACAUUCUUGACCGUGAACAACACAUUCAUCUUUCAACUCCCUUUGAAGGUUUGGAUGUACUGUGUGAAUCGCUGGUGGAUUUUGAGAAUUUGAGAAGAAAUGGCGUUGAUUUAACUGAAGAUCUUCGCAAGCAAGGUUGGGAAACCUACUUCAACAGAUUGUAUGGUCCAAUCUAUCCUCUUCUGGUGAAAGAAUUCUGGAGAUGUGCAGAUGCUGAUGAUGAGUUCAUUGUUUCUUUUGUUCUGGGAGUGAAGAUCAUCAUCACAGAAGCAUCUAUUGCCUCUUUGCUGAACAUGGAGAGAACUGGAGGUAAAAGGAUUUACAACAUUCCUCCAAGGUCCAAGCGCAUCACAGAAGUCAUUAACCCUACAAUCUUCAAAGCAAAUGUUGAAGGAAACCCAUCUAAGAACAAGGAGCUUCAUCAGAACCUCCGAGUUUGGCUGAAGAUUAUUCUGGGAACAAUCCAUCAUCGUCCAGCCUCCAACUCUUCAGAUUAUAUAAAUGCUGAUCAGAAAUGCAUCCUCUACUGUAUUCAGAAGGGUAUUCCAAUCAACCUCCCUGUUCUCCUCUUCAGAUAUCUGAGGGAUUCAGUCAGAGAAACAAGGAAUAAUAUGAAGCCCAGAUCCUACAUUCCUCUGGGAAGAUUGCUCUCUGACAUCUUCAUUGAGCAUGGGCUGGUAGAUGCUCUGGAGAAGACCAGAUGUAUGGAUGAUCUGGCAAUUGACGUUGGAAAGCCUCUGAAUGCCAAAAAUCUGAGGAGUAUGGGAAUCAUCAAAGACAUCAGAGUCAAGCCCACUAUGAAUGUAACCUGGGAAGCUCUGAAGGAUCAGAGGAAGAUGCCUCAUGGCCUUGAAAGGUUCUUCAAGAAUGAACCCAGAGAUGCCAUUGCUAUCUACCUUCAGGAUCGUCUGGAUGAAGGCAUUGAUAUCUCUGAUUUCCGCCUUGAAGACUGUCUGGACUCUGUAGAAGAUCUGGUCAGAUACAAAAGAGGUCUUUCUGAGAAGAAGAUAGCUGAGGAAGCAAGGAAGGCAAAGAAAGCCAGACUUGGAGAAACCUCUGGCACCAAAGCUUCAGCACCUCUGAAUGUCUCCUCUGGUAAGUCCAUUCCUCCUGUCUCUUCUGAAUCUGUAAUGGCUUCCUCUAACCCUCUCUCCUCUCAACCAAUAUAUACCACCGCUGAAAUACCACCUUCAACCAUCAGAACCUCUCAACCUCCACCUGUUCUAAAAAUUGCUCGUAAUUUCACAACAACCUCUGACCCUAAUCAACUAUAUCACCACAGCUCUUCCUCAUCCUCUGAAUAUGAAUCACCCCCUUACCUUUCCCCUUCUUCUGACCAAGAGUUCUCUGAACAAGAGUCCUCUGACCAAGAACACUCUGACCCAAACUCCCCAACAAUAGCUGAAAUUUAUGCUAAAAAUUUCGCUCCACAACCCUCAAGACAAUCUGAAGUAACCUCUCCCCUCCAAACUUCACUUCCACCACAACAAACAACAACCUUACCCUCUGAAACUCAACCAUCUGAUCCCUUCACCUCUAAUAUCACUCCACCAUUUAUUCCCGCUGUACCUGGACCAGACUCUGACCCUUUAGACCUAAAUCCACUAUAUGCUUCAUCCCCUAGUCUUCAACCAGACGCAGAUUCUGAACUUCAAGCAGAAUCUGAACCUCAACAAACUGAACCUCAACCUCUAAAUCUCAGCCCUCAAAACUCUCCACCUCAUUCACCUGAACCUGAACCUGAACUUACCAUACCUACCCUUGAGGAGGCCAUUAUACAGGUUGCAGAAGCUUCAGUCCAGAAGAUCAAGUCUCUGGCUAAAAACUCUGAAGUUAGUGAUGAUCCUAAAUCUGUUAGGACACACUGGAACAGAGUCAUUAGUUGGAUGACCUCUGAGUCUUAUAGGCUGAAGAGUAUCUCUGAACAAGUCAGAAAUGGCUACAUCAGAGACUCUGAGGAAAGACUCCAAGAGAGACUGGCUAGAGAAGCUGAGGCCAGAAGGUUAGAGGAAGAGAGACUGGCUAGAGAAGCUGAGGCCAAGAGAUUAGAGGAAGAAAGAUUGGCUAGGGAAGCUGAAGAAGAAGCUAAGAGGUUGGAAGAAGAACGCCUGGCAAAGGAAGCAGAACUUCUAAGGAUUCAGGAAGCUGAAGCCAAGGCUAAGGCAGAUGCAGAAGCCCAAGCUGCUGCUGAAGCUGAAGCUCAGCAGGCUCUGAUUCAGGGGGAGUCUUCCUCUGCGAUCCCUCUGAUUCUUAACACUCUGAAGGAGAUCAAGCAAGAUCAGAAAGAGAUCAAGCAAGAUCAGAGUGAGCUCCGGGCAAGGAUGGACAAGCAAGACGCUCUGAAUGAAAACCUCCAGAAUAUGUUUGCUAUGCUACUACAGAGACUUCCUCCUCCUCCAAACCCUUAGGCACUUAGGAUUUCUUUUGUUUGCCUAGUGUUUUUGCUUCUGUCUUUUCUUUUUUUUCUCUGAUAUUUCUGUUGAAUCUGAUGUUUUGACUGCUGCUUGCCUUUGUGCUUUUGUUUAAUGAAGUGUUUUUCUCUCUAUUAUUUUUUUUAUGUUUUAUGCCUUUUUGAUUAUGCCAAAAAGGGGGAGAAAUUAUUAAAUAGCUCUGAUGAAAAUUAUGUCUAAAACCUUAAGCAUUCUGCAACAAUUAUAGAAAUAGUUCUGAUAUAAAUAGCUCUGAUUAAAUAAUAGCUCUGAUUAAAUAACUCUAACAUUAAAAUUAAGAAAUUGCAGAAAGUUUUCAGAAAUCUCAUUGCUUGGAAAGCUCUGGUAAGAACUUCUGAACUCCCUAGUACUAACUCAGGGGGAGCUUUUGUCUAUCUGAUCUAAUAUUUUUCAUGUUUCAUCUGAUAAUUUUAUUUGUUUUGUCAUCAUCAAAAAGGGGGAGAUUGUAAGAACAAAAAUUGUUCUACAACAGAUUCCAUGAUUUUGAUGAUAACAAAGGAUGAAACCAAAAAUGGCACCCUAACGAAAAGUUUCUAAGUGUGCAGGGUUCUAAAGAAAGAAGAAAUAAAUCUGAUGAUGUCAUCAGAUGCAAAACAAGAUCAGAUGCAAAAUCUCAAGUAUCAGAAGCAUCUAAAGAGGAAUCUCGUUUCAAGAAGCUCUGACUCUGGACAAAACUACAAAGUAUCAGAAGCAUCUGAACAUGAAGUAAAGUCUAGAAGCUCUGACUCUGAACAAAUGCCUUCUGUAAAUUCUGAAGUUAUCAGCGCCAUCUGAACUUUCAAGAGAUAACAUCAGAAGCCAGUUUCUCCAGAUACACAAAGACUCUAAUCAGAAUUGUUAAUCAUGAUGAAGUAACGUUUAAGCCAAGUUAAAGUUCUGCAAAUGGAUUUCCUCAAUUAGAAAGAGACGUUAAUCUCCACUUCCAAGAGAGAAGAUACUAAUUGUGGUAAGUAGUCACUUCUAAGAGAAAAAGUCUACUGCAGAAGCUAUUAAUGGAAUGGCGUAACUACAUCUCAAUAUCCAACAGAUUCAACGCUACUUCAACUCUACUUCAACUCCUAUAAAUAGAGAAGAAAUCUCAUUCAGUAAACACGAAGAAAUCACUAGCCAAAACUAUACUGAAAUCAUAUCACGCUCAAGAAAAACAUCUUUGUUCUUCAAAGAUUUUCACUAAGCUUUUGCUUAUCAAGUGAAAAAUUUGUUCUUAAGUUUGUAAUAUUUGCUUUCUUAGAAGCACUCUAGAUUACACAUCUUGUAUCUAAUUUUUAUUUGAUUUCCUCAAGUGACUCUUUGUAGUCUGUAGACUUGAGAGGACUAAGAGAUUUUCUUCUCUCUUAGGGGUUGUUUGUAAUCUUUCAAGAUUAGUGGAUUAAGUCCUUGUUGAAGGCGAAAUCACCUUGGCCGGGUGGACUGGAGUAGCUUUGUGUUAUAAGCGAACCAGUAUAAAAUCUUUGUGUGAUUUCAUUUUGCAAAAGCGCUUAUUUUUCAAACAAUUCAAACCCCCCUUUCUUGUUUUUCUCACCUUCAAGUUUCACAAUUCUUUGAUGAACUAAAAUGCAAUUGAGGACUCCGCGUCUUUGAGUCAUAAAUCAUGGAGACUCAUAAUGCGUCCAAAAAUGCAUAUCCAAAAUUUAAGUGGCAUUUUCAAAUUUUUAUAGGAUGGUUUUCCAACACUUAUGUAGAGAUAAACAAUUUCGUAAUUAAAGGUCUCUAAGAGGAGUUGAAAUAAAUAUAUUUAAAAAAUUAGUAACAUAAUUAUUUAAGGAAUAAAGUUUUCUAACCAAAAGAAUUUUUCCCUAAUUUUUUUGUGCCUAAUUUAUUUUGCUAACAAAGUAAAGCCCUGAUUAUUGUUACUAAAUUUUAGUAAUUUUCAUUCAUCUCUCAAUUAAUAUCUCUUAUAAUCCUCAUUAACUCUCAAUUAAUGUAAUUCAUAUCUAUCAAAAAAAAUUGAAAAUUUUGUAUCUAGGCUUGGGACCAACUAGUUUAGUGAAUUGCUAAUUUCAUCUUAAGUGUUGGAAAUAUGCCCUAUAAAAUUUUGAAAAUACCCUUUUGAAUCCGAAAAUGCAUCUUCGAACGCACCUUACGCCUCACUAAAACACACCUCAACUUGUUGAUGUUUUUUAUGUAAUUCAAGUGAUGUAACCAGUUAUCUCGGGUAGGUAACCGGUUACAUAAAUGUCUAAAGUUCAAUCAAGUAGCAAAAAUGUGGAGUUUUUGAAGGUGUAACCGGUUAACCAUUUUGGUGUAAACGGUUACCACAAAAGCUGAUUUAAUUCAAUGUCAGGUGUAACCGAUUAUCCAUUUUUGUGUAACAUUACAAGCGUAAUAUUUUGAUUUUUCCUGCUAUUUUACUUGGUCAAUUCAGUUCCCAAUUGUGUUGUAUCUCUUGUAUAAGUGUUUAGAAUGCACACUCAUCUAAGGUUAAUGCAAUAAUAAUCUCUCCCCCUUAAUUCUCCUCUUUCACACUCCACAUCCAAAGUAUCUCCAUCAUUGUUCACCAAACUUGUGGUCUCUUGUUCCAAAAUUUGACAUCAAGAGUCUGGUUCAGAUCCACAAACACCUAGUGUGCAACAUGAAUUAUGUUUCCAAUGAAAGAAUUCCUGCAAACCUACCUAUCUUUGAUGCGAAGAAUUAGGAUAAACGGUGCAAGGAAAUGAAGAUGUUGUUUGGAUACCAAGAUGUUCUUAAAGUAAUCAAUAAGGAUGUUACUCCUCUUAUUCAAAAUGAAACAGAGGCGCAACAAGCAACACAUAAGGAAGAGAAGAAGAAAUAGUUCAAUGUGUUGAUGGCGAUGAUUUUAAGAAAGUUGAUGAUUGUGAAUCGUCAAAGUAAGCGUGAGAGAUCUUAGAGAAGGCAUGUGCAUGGGUUGACAAGGAAAAGGUGGUGAGGUUACAAACUCAUAAACGUCAGUUUGAAUUGAUUCAAAUGGAGGAAAAGGAGAUAAUCAAUGAUUUUGCAAUGAGAAUCACUCGGUUGGUGAAUCAAGUGAAGGCAUGCAAAGAAACUGUUACGGAGUUGUAUGUUGCUGCUAAAAUCUUGUGUUCUUUAACACCAAGAUUUAACAGUAUAGUUGUGGCAAUUGAUGAGUCAAAGGAUCCCGCGACGAUGAGCAAAGAGGAGUUGCAAAGUUCUCUUGAGGCUCAUGAGAAAAAGAUGGAAAAGAGGAAUAACGAUAAGGCAAAGGCGGAGAUUGCUUUGCAAGCUCGUUUCAAUGAGAAGGACAAGAGAUCGAAAGGAAAAUGGCCCAAGAAAAGAAAAGGGAAUUUUCAUAAUUUGGGUGGAAGAGAGUCCUAAAAUUCAAAUGAUUUGACUUGUCAAAGGGGUGAGAGCAGCUACAAUAAACAUGGUGGUCAAGGAAACUUUAGAGGUAGAAGGAAGAAGUUUGAUAAGAGCAAGGAGAUGUGCUAUAAGUGUCAAUGGUUCGUUCAUUUUGCAAAAAAAUACAAUGUGAACAAGAAAGAAUCUCAAGGGAUUAAACCAAGGUUGCAAGAUAAGAGUUUGAUGAAGAGAAUAUAAUUUUGGUCAUGAUCAAAGAAGGGAAUUAUAGCAGCAAACAACUGUGGGACAACAGCGGCAAUAAAUCAAAGAAUGCUAAAAAGGUCGGUUGAAUGAUACGAUUAACCGAUCGCAUGAAGAGGAAGAUACCAUGAUGAGUUUGAAAGGAGUUCAAUGUAGUGAUGAGUGGUAUUUGGACUUGGGUUGUUCAGCUCAUAUGACAGGAAUAAAGGAUUGGUGUGUCAAAAUCAAUCGUGCCAUGAAGAAUAAACUAAAGUUUGCAGAUGAAACCACCCUAAUGAUCGAUGGGAUCGAUGAUGUUUUGAUCAUGAGAAGGGAUAAUGGACAUUACUUAAUCACAAAUUCUUGUACAUUUUUGGAAUCAAAUUUAACCUUCUAAGUAUUGGCCAAUUGCUUGAGAAGGAUUCCAAGAUUCACAUGGAAGACAAUGGGUUGUGCGUUAUGGAUAUAAGAGGAGGCUUGGUCCUUAAAGCGCAUAUGGCUGCCAAUAGAACCUUUAAGGUUGAGUUGAAGGUUAUAGAGUAUAAAUGUCUUGCUACUACAUCAAGUAGACAACAGUGGAUAUGGCACUAUCGUCUUAGACAUCUCAAUUUUAGAGAUCUCAAAGACUUUCAAAAGAACAUAAUGGUAACAGGGCUGCCAUUGAUCAACAUACUAGCUGAAAUUUGUGAAGAAUGUGUGCAAGUGAAGCAACAUAAGGGAAAAUUGAGCAAGUAGACUCUAUUGGUGGAAAUAUGUAUUUUGUCACAUUUAUCGAUGAUCAUAGUACAAAACUAUGGACAUACCUAAUCAAGAUAGAUGACAAUGUAUUUCAUGAUCGUCCGUCAUUGCAUAUAUUUAGUCGAAGAAUCAGACAAAACAAGUGAAAGUUAAGAUAAAAUGAAGAAGAAUAAGGAAAAAAUAUCUAAGCAUGGAAACUGGGGACUUAUUGAAAUUUUGAGUAAAAAAGGGAGCAAAAGUGUGCAACCACUGGAAUAAUCAUGCGCACCAUCACGUAGCAUCGUGCACACAAUGGGGUCUUUAAAGUUGCAUCGCGCAUGCGAUACAAGGAAUCACGCGCGUGAUAAAUACUUUUUAUGGGCUUUUCAGACGCGUUCUGGUCCAUUCUAACGCCUUUAAAAGGGGAUUUUCUGAACUUUCACAAGAGUUACAAAAUUGGGAGAUCUAGGCACUACUUUGAGAGCACAAGUGGUGAUUUUUAUAACAUUAGAAGUUAUUGGAGACCAUUACUUCAACGUAUUUCACAUGUUAUUUUCAUCUAUCAAUUAUGAUAUUUUUAAUUGCAUUAUGAGUAGCUAAGCUCCUCUAGAUUAGGUUGUAUACUGAUGAACCUAUUUCUAUAUUGUUGGAAUCUAUGUUGAUUUAACAAUUGUGUGAACCUUUUGAACUAUAAUUCCAUUCAAUUGCUUCUUGUUCAUAAUGCUUUUUAUGUGAGAUGAUAUUUUAAUAUGAUUUUGGGAACAUAAGGAAUACUGACCAUUAGUCUAUGUGUUGGACCUAGGGAAAUUGUUGUACUUACGCUGGUUGAAUAGGAAUAGGAGACCCUGAGUAGUGGCGUAGAGAAUUAACGCUUUAUACAUCGCCUAACCCUGCUUACGCUGGAGGACUAAGGAUAAAAAGCUCUGAGUGGUGGUUAGUGAGUUAUUUCAUGAGGGAUCAACUAUAACAGUUUUGUUAAUUCGUCGUGGUGUUAUAGUGAUAAGACCAUUCGUACAAGACAUCAAACAUCAACAAUAGAGGAAUAUGAGAUUUUAAAACACAACUUGGCCGCUUUCGUGAUAUUGUUUAAUUGUUUAUUUACUUUUUGCACAGAAACUCAACCCCCCCCCCCCCNNNNNNNNNNNNNNNNNCCCCCCCCCCCCUUUACUAGUUUUUUAUAAAUUGCACACAUUUUGUCUUGCUUGAACGAAGUUCACGUGGAUUCGAUCUUUUUAUUACUUCGACGAUGUCAAUACACUUGUCGAGAAGUCAUCAAGUUUUUGGCGCUUUUGCCAGGGACUAUUAAUUUUUCAUCAAGGCGAUGUUUGUGCAAUUUUUUUUAGUCUUUAAAUUUUAUGUUUUAUUUUCUUGUUUCUCAAAAUGCUAUUGAGGUAUUUUCUAUUUGUGUAUGUACCGUUCAGGAUCAACAUUAAUACCAUUGGAUCCAAAAAUUGAAAGAAACGCACAUGCUCUCAGAAAAGCUGUUAGAGGAGCAACUCUGGAAAGAGGAAUACUAGAAGAAGAGUAAUUAUCAAGUUAGUCAUACUCUGAAGAUGAAGCUGUAAUGGCAGAUGCACAACCCCUAACUAUGGGGGAUUAUUAUAAAUGAACCGAUGAAGGACACUUCUCCAGAGGGUUUGUACCGGUAGACCCUUCUAACUUUGAUAUUAAAAAUUAUGUGCUUUAAGGUUUGAGAGAAAAUUUGUUCGGCAGGAACACGAUUAGAGACCUAUGGGUGCAUCUUACACACUUCUAUGAAACAACUUCAAUGUGAAAAUCAAUUGAUGCCACUGAAGACCAGGUUAAAUUGAGGUUGUUUGGGUUCUCACUAAUUGGAAGGGCGAAGAUUGGUUACUUUUCCUCCCGAAUGGAACGAUACGAACAUGAAAGGAAUUAGAGGAUAAAUCCCUGGAAAGAUUUUUCACUACUACUCAGUUUACCGAGCGCUAAGCAGAAAUUGUGAGGUUUGAGCAGUAGGAAAUUGAGUCACUUUAUGACUCUUGGGAAAGAUUCAAACUUUUGUUACGCAGAUGCUCGAAUCACAACAUGAAUAAUAUAGAGCAGAUGCAAAACUUCAUUAAAGGUCUCAAAGUCAAACUCACGUAUUUUUGGAUGCUUCUACGAGAGGUACUAUCUGAAAAAUGAAUGAACCAUGGGUAAAAGAUAUCAUUGAGAAAAUGUGUAUAAUUGAGUACCGAUCCAAGAACGAAAGGUCGAUCAAGAUGGGAACUGUGGGCACGCCUAAAGGUAUGUUACCUAUUGAUACCCACAUUGCUCUUUUAGCUCAGAUUGAAUUAUUAAAUAAAAAGCAAGCUGGAAGAAGCUUAGUUAAAGCUAACGUAAGUCAGGUACAAGCACUUAAAAGCGAUUUAUAUGGAGGAUAACAUGCGAAUGGAAGUUGUUCAUUGGAAGGGACAAGUGAGGAGGUAAAAUUUUAUAAUUUUUAAAAAAAAUAACUUGUAUUCAAACACAUAUAAUCCGGGUUAAAAAGACCACCCAAAAUUCCUUUGGAAUAAUAAUCAAAAUUCAAAUGCUAACUAAGGGAUGCAACAAAGCCAACAAGCUCUGUUUCAAAGAAAUCCAUCACAAAUGGUAGAGACCUUGAAAAUUUUCAUUAAGGUCACUCAAAGUAGCUUUGCUAGGGUAAAUAAGACCCUUGAAGAAAUGAGUAGAAACUAGGAUGCGUCUAUCAAAAUUUUGGAGAUGAAGAUUGGUCAAUUAUCCAGACAAGUAGCUACUUUUCCAAGCUCAAGUGGAGGAUUCACCAGUAACAUUGUUGAUAACCCUAAGAAUGAUAACCCUAAAUAUAGGUUUAGGGGAAAUUACUGAAAAGGAUAAGGAGGAGAUAGUUAAAGAACGUGUGGUUAAGAUAGAUGAGGGUACAAAUCAAGGUGACCAAGAGGAAAGAGGAGACAUCAUUGAUCAACUUAUUGACAAAAAUUCUCCUCGGGGGAGAACAAAGAAGCAGAUCAUGACUGAACCAAAUCCUCCUUUACCAGAUCACGUAAAACCACCGUACCCAAUAAUUAAAAAGAAAGUGGUUUAAGAUGAUGAAGCGAGAAUGUUUGCAAAGUUCAAGGAAAUUCUAGCUACUCUCCGGGAAAGUAUUUCGUUCCAUGAAAUUUUAGAACUAAUGCCUAAGUUUGCUAAAUUUAUGAAGGCGUUACUAAAUGGGACGGAAGAGAAAAGGAUCAAGGAACAUGUAAACAUGACCGAAAAGAAUGAUAUGGUAAAACCUCAAUCCUUACAACCUAAACUAAAAGACUCAAGUAAAUUUAUGAAGGAGUUAUUAAAUGGGACGAAAGAGAAAAGGAUCAAGGAACAUGUAAACAUGACCGAAAAUGAUGAUAUAGUAAAACCUCAAUCCCUACAACCUAAACUAAAAGAAUUAGGUAAGUUUACUAUUUCCUAUAAUAUUAGUGGAUUCAAUAUUCUGCAUGCUCUAUGUGAUAUGGGAUCUAACAUAAAUGUCAUGCCACCGAAAACUGUCAAAGAAUUAAAAGUGGGUGAGAUCACACCGAGUAACAUGACUCUCAGUCUAGUUGAAUUGUCUAUUACUCAUUCAAUUGGUACUUUACGCGACAUAUUAGUACCUAUCGACGACUUAUUGUUUCCUAUAGAUUUUAUAGUGCAUGAUACAAAAGAAGAUUCGGGAGGAUCUAUUAUUCUUGGACAUCCAUUCUUGGCAAUCGGGAAAGCAAAAGAUUGAUGUGUAAACUGGUCAACUUAUCUUGAAGUCAAAUAAAAGGAAUGUGGUUUUCAAGGUAUAUGACUGGACACCUUAUGUGGAUAAUUUGGAUACUUUCUACUAUCUGGAUGAAAAAGGUAGGAAAGUAGAUAAAGGAACAAUGAGAAAGAAAGUGACAGGCGUGAGGGUGUCCCUUGCGCCUGACGUACCUUAGACAUGGAUUAUCAAGCUAGUGAUGUUAAAAAAGUGUUUGAUGGGAGGCAACUCAUCAAUAAGAAUUUAUUUUUUUAUCAUAGUGAAUAUUAAUUUUUCUAACCUUGUUAAUUUUUGUGCUAUGUUAUUGGAAGAGAAAAUAGGUGAAAGAAGAAAAGAAAGAAAAAGCAAAAGGGAAGAAAAUAGAAAAAGAAAAGAGAGAGGAAAGUUUCAUCCCCCAGAAUCAUCACGUAUGAUAAUAUAAACUAGUUCUUUACAAUAAUAAAAUUUGAUAUUUAUUUAUACAAACACAAUUAUAUAAAGAGAAUAACACACAAAUCACACAUGAUAAUUUUAGAAUAAUUAUACUCUAAUAUUUUUUGAGUCGUGAUAUAUCCUCUUCUUAAAUAUUUGAAAGUUGAAUCUCUCUCACUAAUCUCUAUUCCCCUAUUUAUUUUAAGAAUAAACAUAUUGAAUUAAUAAAACAUAAUUGCACCUUUCUUAAAGGUUAUACAAACAACUACUAAAGUUGAAAAAACUAAAGAGAGGUCAACUCAAUCUUUAUCAAAUUAAAUUAAAGUUUAUUAUAAAACACAAACAACUAGUUCAUUCAAAUGAUAACUUGUUUAGUACACAAGUAAGAUCUUACUUAAUACAUAGAAAUAAGAUCUUACAGAAUAUAGAGAUUAAAAACAUAGGAAUAACAUGAAAAGCUUUUAAAAUGACAUAGACAUUGAUUAACAAAGAUAUGAACUAGUUUCGGGUAUUUCUUAACCAUCCGUCAAGGUAAACUUGUUUGGAGUCAGGGGUGGAUUUUGCUUUCUCGACUCGGAUAUCUUUCAACCAUCCAUCAAGGUAAACCUGGUUGUUGUCAGAGGUGGAUUUUACUGUCUCGGCUCGGAUAUCUUUCAACCAUCCAUCAAGGUAAACUUGUUUUGGAUCAGAGGUGGAUUUUGUUUUCUCUGCUCGGGUAUCUUUCAACCACCCAUCAAGGUAUACUUGGUUGGAGUCAGGGGUAGAUUUUAUUCUCUCGUUUCGAUAAUCUUUCAACCAUCCAUCAAGGUAAACUUGGUUGGAGUCAGACAUGGUUUCUGUUUGCUUUGCUCGAGUAUUUUUCAACCAUCCAUCAAGGUAAACUUGGUUGGAGUCAGAGGUAGAUUUUUCUUUCUCAGCUCGGGUAUCUUUUAACCAUCCAUCAAGGUAAACUUGUUUGGAGUCAAGAUUUUUCUUUCUCAGCUCGGGUAUCUUUUAACCAUCCAUCAAGGUAAACUUGUUUGGAGUCAGAGGUGGAUUUUGUUUUCUCUGCUCGGGUAUCUUUCAACCAUCCAUCAAGGUAAACUUGAUUGGUGUUAGGCAUGGACUUUUCUUUCUCAACUCUGAUAUUUUUCAACCAUCCAUCAAGAUAAACUUGGUUGGAGUCACUUGUAGAUUUUGUUUUCUCAACUCGGGUAUCUUUCAACCAUUCAUCAAGGUAAACUUGGUUGGAUUCAGAGGUGGAUUUUGCAUUCUCUGCUCUGGUAUCUUUCAACCAUCCAUCAAGGUAAACUUGGUUGGAGUUAGGUGUUGACUUUUCUUUCUCAACUCUGCUAUCUUUCAACCAUCCAUCAAGAUAAACUUGGUUGGUGUCACCUGUAGAUUUUGCUUUCUCAGCUCGAUUAUCUUUCAACCAUCCAUCAAGGUAAACUUGGUUGGAUUCAGAGGUGUCUUUUGCUUUCUUUGCUCUGGAAUCUUUCAACCAUCCAUCAAGAUAAACUUGAUCGGAGUUCUGGGAGGAUUUGGUUUUCUCUGAUCGUGUAUCUUUCAACCAUCCAUCAAGAUAAACUUGGUUAGAGUUAGCAAUGUGUUUUCGACUCUUCAAUGGAUUUUUGAGCCAACCAUCAAGGUAAGGUUGAUCAGCUUGUAUUUCUUGUACAUUCUCUUGCUGAAGUUUGAUAUAUCGGGCAAAGCUUCCUUGUCCAUUCUAUAAUACAAUUGAAUAAAUGGAUAUUAGUGAGUUAUUUUUGGAUGGUAUAUAUGAUUACAAAAACAAAAUUAUGUGUUUUAUGAGACACAUUAUGUUACAUAAAUAAGACACAUUCAUUGUAUAUUUCAGAUGGAUAUAGAAUGCGAAAUAAAAAUCAAAGAAAAACAAUUUUUUAAAUUUCAUUGCCGCAUAGAAAAUAUUAUUUUGUCAAAUUAAAUAGAACAACUUGAUUAAGUGAAUGAUGAAAUCAAAUCAAAUAAAGAUGCAAAAUGAUAGAUUGUGAUAAAUAAAUGAUGAAAAAUAUAUGUGUAAAAGAUACAAGAAUGGAUGCAUAACUUACAAUCAAUAAGAGCAUGAUAAAAGGGAGGAGAGACAAAACAUCUUUGUUUGUCAUUUCUUUAAUGUUAUGAUUUUGUGGGAAAAUUGUUUUAAUGUAAAAAGAUGUAUUGAAAUGGAAGUGAAUUGUGCUAUUUAUAAGUGAAUGAAAAGAAAAACUACAUUAAGGACAUUGAGACUUUGGUUGGCAAGAUUAUUUUUUUAAAUAUUUAGUUUAAAUUAUUUUUUAAAUGUUUAGUUUAAUUGAUAAGUUUAUAUGUCUAAGAAAGAUCAAUUUACUAAGAUUUAUUAUUUACAAGAUCUAUUAGGUGUGUUGUUUUGAGUUAUAAAAAAUAUUAAAAAAAUUGUUUGUUUGAUAUAUUUUUUUAAUUAGAAGCUCCUAACUAAAUCCUCUUAGUUUAAAAUAAAUAAAUUUUAGAACUGCUACUGCAAUUAUUUUUAUUUUAAAAUUAAAAAUGAUUUUCUAAAAAUCCUUAAUAAAAACAUAUUAAAAUGACAAAGGUGAUUUUGUUAAAUGUUAAACAAACAUUUAUUUUGAUAAGUUAUUUCAAAUAACUUAAAAUUUCAUAAAUUUAUUUUAAUUUAUAAUUAAAGUGGUAAUUAUGAUAAUCUCGCCUCUUGAGUUCUAAUAUUUGAGCUAAUAGUAUAAAUAUGUUUUAGUUGAAUUAGAAUUUGCAUUAGUGAUAGUUUCAAUUUUACAAUUAAUUAGACUAAAAUAUUGAUGUUCGUCAUAUAUAUAUAUAUAUAUAUNUAUAUAUAUAUAUAUAUAUUAAAUAGUAAUUAUAUAUUAUAAAUUUUAAUUUUGGGAAAAAAAUAUUAUUUCAAUAUUUUAAAAUUUUAAUAAUUAUUGUUUUAUAAAAUUAAUUAUAAUGAGUAUAAUAUUUUAAUUUUAUUAUCAUCAAAUAUACCCUACAUCAAAAUUCACAAACUUUAAAUAUAAAUAUCGGGAUCCACUUAAUUGAAUUGGAAUUUAAACAUCAAAAUUUAGACAAAUGUUAAAUUUUGAAGCACUUGGUUUUUGAAUCAUGACUCUUCUACAACCAACUCCUAGGGACUUACUACAUAGCCAACAAUGAAUCCAAAAUAGUUUCACAAGAAACACUAAAAUACUGUGUUGGCCUUUGCAUGUUUAAGAUGUUCACAUGUAGCUGGGGUUUGCGUGCUUAUGAGCUUACCUAAUAGUAAGUUAAAAAAACAAUAUAUUAUUAUACUGACCAGUCUAAAGAGAAAUAGAUAAGUUACUGUAUUUGUUAUUAUAAUCAAAUAUUAUCUAAAAAAGAAAUAAAUUAUAAGGAAUAUGUUUUCAUUAUUUUUAUCUUUAUUUAAAGAAUAUAAAUAUUUUUUAAUUAAUGAUAAAUAAUUGAUUUUAAAUGUGAUUACGGUUUAUAUCUUUAUCUAAGAAAAUAAAUGAUAAAAUGUGAAUACUCAUAUCUAAAAUUAAAUAUUUAUCCAAUUAUGUAGGCCAGCCUCAUAUUUAUUGUAAAAAUUUUAACAAAGUUUAAAAUAAUGAAAAUUAGAAUAAUGGUAUUCCUACAUUAAAUCUUACAUCAAAUACUUACAUUAAAUAUUUUUUACCGUAUUUAAACGAUGAAUAAUAUUUUUAUUUUUAAUAAAAAAAUAUUUAUAUAAAAAUGUUUUUAUUUUUAAAAUUAUUUUUAUAAUAAAAAUAUAAAAUUUAUCACAAAAUAAUUUUAUUAUCGUAUUAACUAUAAAAAUAUAGGUUAUAAAUCACAUAUUUCACUUAUAAUUCAUUAACCAGUAAAAUACAUAAUAUUAAUCAAAUUAUGAUAUUAAAAUAUGAAAUAUAUAAUUUGCUUAAUUAUUAUAUUUUAUAUUUUAAUGUCACAAUUUAUUUAUAUUAUUUAUUUUAUUAAUUGAAUAUAAUAAUAAGUAAAAUAUAUGGUUAAUCAUCUAUAUUUUUAUGAUUAAUACAAUAAUAAAAUUGAUUAGUGACAAAUUUUAUAUUUAUAUUACAAAAAUAAUUAUAAAAAUAUAUCAAAAACGAGUUUAAGACAACGUAGGAAAAAGUGAAGUGACACUCAAAUAUUAUUUGCUCAUUAAGCAAUCAGUUAAAAUUAAAGUGAAUUAACGAAUUAAGCAUAAAGUUUCACACAAUCAAAAUUAGGGAACAAUAAAUCAAUCGAACAAAACAAAACUACUAAGUUUUGAGUGUAAAAUUUGGUGUAAUAUUAAAAAUUAAAAAAAAAUUGAGGUUUAUAAGAUGUAAAAUUAUUUAUUAAACUCUUUUAAUAAAUUUAAUAUUAUGAUAAUUUAUUAUGAUAAAUAAUAUUUAAAAUAAGAAAAGAUUGAGCUUUUAAAGGAUGAAAUUCUAGUCAUUAGAUUAAAGAAAACAUCACCAAAACCUUAUUUCACAGAUGAAAUCGACUACAUAUAUGAUAUAUCAAUUUUCACGCUAAUAUUCUAUCAAUCACCAUAUUUUAUAGCCAUUAGACUAUUUAAUCAAAAUUAUUCAUAAUAAAUUUCAUUUGAUAUUUACUUUUUAAUAGAUAAUAAAGUAGAUAUAUUUAAUCUUUAUUAAAAAAUUAUUAAACAUUAUUGGUAUUAAAUAUGAUUUUAUUAAUUUUAAUUUUGAUAUAAUUAAUGGAUAUAAGUAUUGGCUCAAGAUAUAUCAAAGCCUUUGCCAAAUUUUUAACAAAGAUUUUAAUAAUAAAAAUUAUGAGUGUAAUAUUUAAAAUAAAAAAUUGAGCUUUUUAAAAUGUAAAAUUAUUGAUUGAAUUAUCAUAAAUCAGUUAAGUGUGUAUUUAUGCAAGAUGGGACAUCCCAUUUGCAGGGGCACAAAUUCAACCCACAACAUCUCACUUUUUAUCUUGGAAAAUUCCAAUCAAUAAAUUACUUGAUCCAAAAAAAUCAUAGUAAAUCUUGUUUGAUAUUUAUUUUCAAUCAAAUAUAUGUAAUCCUUAAUGAAACCUUAAACAUUAUUGAUUUUAAAUAAGAUUUUAUUAACUUUAAUUUUAUACCAUUAAUAGAAGGACUAUAUUCUGGAACGAAUUAAUAUAUUUUCGUUAUUCUUAUUUUUAUUUAAAUAUUUAAAUAUUAUUUAAAUUAAUAAUAAAUAAUUGGUUUUAAAUGUGAUGAAGUUUAUAUCUUUAUCCGAAAAAAUAAACGAUAGUGAAUAUUUAUAUUAAAAAAUAACACAAUACACUUAAAUAUUUAAUCUCCUUAACCUAUCUAAAUAUCUAGGCCGGCAUAAGACAUAUUGAAGUUUAGUGUAAAAAAUUUAACAAAGCUUUUAAUUAUAAAAAUUAUGACUGUAACAUUUAAAAUAAAAAAAAUUGAACUUUAUUAUUAGAUGUCAAAAUAUUUAUUAAACACUCUUAAUAAGUAUUAAAUAUAAAUUUAUUAAAUUUAUUUUUGAUACAAUUAAUGAAUAUAAGUACGGGCUCAAGAGAUAUACACGCCUUUGAUAAAAAAUUUAACAAAGAUUUUAAUUAUAAAAAUUAUGAAUAUAACAUUUAAAAUAAAAAAGUUGAUCUUAAAAGAUGUAAAAUUCUUUAUAAAAUUAUUAUAAUAGUUUUUGAUUAAUUAAUAUGCACAGUCAAUAUCAUUUUUUUAUUAUUAUUAUUAUUAUUAUUAUUAUUAUUAUUAUUAUUAUUAUUAUUAUUAUGCGUCGGUGUACAACUCAUAAAAAAAGACGUCAAUCAUAAAUAUAUAUUGGUACAGUGUCGUCAAUUGGAUUGACGCAUCCUCGUAGGUGUUAUAUGCAGGGAUGAAGCUAGAGAUUUUGAACUGUAGGAGCAAUAUAUUAAUAUAUAAAUUUAUUUCUAUUUAUUUUUAAAUCAUAAAUAUAUAUUUAAUUUAUUUUUAAAUCAUAAAUAUAUAUUAUAUCUAUUUUUUAAGAAAUCUAUCUCUAAAACAAUUUUUAUUAAUUUUUUAAAAUUUUAAAAUUUUAAAAUUUUGUAAAUUUUAAAAUUUUAUUAUCAAGAAAAAUAUUUUUUUAUGUAUUUUUUAUGAGAUCAUAAUAUUAACAUAAAAUUCUAUAAAUCAAUUUUUUUAAAGAUCGAGGAAAAAAUUAUUUUAAAAUUAUAACAAGAAAAACAAUUCAAUAUAUUUCAUCUGACAUGUUUUAAUUUAAUUAUUGAAAAUAAAAAAUUCACUAUAUUUUUGGACAAUAUCCUAAAUAAAUAUUCAUAUACUUUAUUAUUUUCAUCUAAUUUUUAGUAAUAUCUUCAUAAUAAUAAUAUUAUUUAUAUAAAUUUAAAAUAAUAUAAAUUUAUAUAUAUAUAUAUAUAUAUAUAUUUAUAUAUAUUAUAUAUAUAUUAAUAUAUAUUAUAUAUUAUAUAUAUAUAUAUAUAUAUAUAUAUAAUAUAUAUAUAUAUAUAUAUAUAUAUAUAUUAUAUAUAUUAUUUAUAGUAGGGACCAUUUGUCUUAUGCUAUUUUAAUUUGUUAUUUCUUAAUUUCCCCGUCUAUUUCAGUGUUUGGAUUAAAAAAAGGGGGGGGUCGGGGGUUCCCUCUUGGGGGUGGGUUUAGUAUUUUAAUGUUUUUUUACUUAAUAUUUCUUUUGUGUUUUUCACAUUCUUCUAUGUCUUAGAUUGACGUCUUCUUUAUUUUGAAAGUGGGUUACUCUCAGAAAUAAUUGAAAAAGUAAAUUAUUUUAGAUAUCUAUUUGAAAAGUUAGAAAAUCUUAAAUAUUAUUCAUUUUAAAUAAUAUUUUAUUAAUAUAAUUUUUAAUACCAUUAAUAGAAGGACUAUAUUCUGGUAUCAACCGAAAGGAUUAUAUUAUUGGACUAUUUUAAAUUUCCUAUUAUAUUGUUGUCGUCUAUUAUCAAUUUAUUUUAUCAAUAAAUCACUAUUUGAAAUUUUAUUAGUAUUUAAGUCUUUAAAUUCAUCUACACCUUUGACUUCUACUAUUAAUUUUCAUUUUCAUUUUUUUAAUGUUUAUAUAACUGGUACAUUGUUAACUUGUUUAUUUAAUAAACAUUAAGCAAUAUUUUUAAAUUAACUUUUUAAUUUAUUUUUAUAAAUUUAUCUAAAGUUCCCUUUUAUAAUUUAAUUAAAAUUUCAACUCUCUUUUUUUAAUUUCUAAUUUUUUUUAUUCAAAUUUUUUUAAUUGACAUUACUCUAAAUAACAUAAUAAAACAAUUUCCACAAUAAACACAAACAAAAAAAAAAUUCAAAAAUAAGAUAAUUGAUUAAAUAUAAAUGAUUUAAAUUAAAAGUAAAUAAAAUAAAAUUGCAUAAAUAAAAUAUAAUUUUAUCCUUUUACAAUGCUAGAGAGGACAUACACUUUAUCAUAGAAGUAACGAUUAAUUAAUGGAGAUGAUGAAUUAACAUAUUUUAUACUCUCAUAUACACAUUUUAGGUUGGAAAUGAUUUGAUAUAAUCCUUUAUCUAACCUGUUUAAAUUUUAAUGGGUUGAAUUUGUCGUUCAACCCACAAUUUCAUUGUCAAAAUUGACAGAAACCGACUUGUUUAUUUAAGGGUUGUGUUCGCGAUGUUUUAAAUAAAAAUUAUUUUUUUAUAUAUUUUUUAAGAUAUAAAAAAUUUAACCCAAUUCAAAUUAGAUGAAACACAUCAUAUAAUGUCUAAUAAAGUUCAUCAACACGACAUAACACUCGAUAAUAGUAUUAAAUUCUAAUAGUAUCAAUGUUAAAUUAUUUUAAAACAAUUAUUUUAAUUAACUCUUUAAUCAUAACAUUUAUUUAUUAUAUUUUUAUAAUACAUUAUAAUAAAUAUAUUAUAAAUAUUCUUAUUUUUAAUUAGAAAUAUAUAAUGAUAAGUUAAUUAAAUAAUUAUGGUUUGUGAAAAACAAAAACAAAAUCAACGUCAAAGUUAUAUGCUUCAACAAUUUAUAUAAUGACUCAUUUUUAAAUAAAAUAGCUUUAAAAAUUAAAAGUUUGAAAAAUAAUAGUUGAUAUAUUAUAUAUUUUAUUUAUUUUUAUGUUGACAAUAUAAAACAUAGACAUUAAUUUUAUUCUUUAACCAUAAUUUUUAUAAUAUAUUAAAAUAAAAAGUAGUUAAAAUUAACUAAUAAAAUUAAUUAUAAAUAGUUUAAAUAAUUUAAUUAUUAUCAAAUAAAAAUAUAUAAAAUAUUUAUUUAGUAAAGAAUAUUAAAACGAAUAACAAAUUAUAUGAGAUGAUAUGACUUUUUUAUAAUCUUUUGUUUUCUUAAGUUAAAUUAUUUAGUAGAUAAAAAAAAAAAUUAAAAUUGAUAUAUUUCUCUCUCUUCUUUAAAUGAUAUUUUUUUUUCUAUUUCUUACCUUUUAAUAGUUGGAUUAAUCAAAUGGUUUAAAAUUGCACAUGAGAGAGGGCAUAAGAGAAAAAAUUGGAGAGGAUCCAAUUCCGAUAAAAAGAUGUGGUAAAUUUAUGAGUAGUUUAAUAAUUUAUACAUAUUUUUAGCCUUAUUAAUUGUCACUUCGUUGAAAAAGAAAAAGGAAAUAAUAAUAAUGAUAGUGAUAAUAAUUAAAUAAUAUUGAAUUUUUUGACAAAUAAUGUUAUUAAAUAUUAUUGAAUAUAAUAGAUGAAAGAGAAAAAAAAAUGAAGAUCUUUGUCUGGCUUACCUCCUCGUUGAAUAGGGUAUGCUAACUAUUAAUAUGCCAAAGCCUCUUUAAAAAAUUAAACAAAUCAAUUAUAGGAUCCGAUAACUAUUAAGGAAUUUCUUAUGUCAUCAUAUGAAAUGGAAAAACUAUACAAAAUUUAAAAUAUUCAUUCAAGUUUAAAGAUGCAUCUUCGAAUACACAUUUGUAUCACCUUAUGACGCACUAAAUGAGCGACACCCUAAAGUAAAAUAAAAUCUUAUUCCAAAGAUACAUCUCUGAGUAUUUUGAACAAAUAUAUUGAUAUUUAAGCAAGCGUCCUCAGCAUGACCAGAUACCUGUAUCAUACACUCAGUUGCUGUCGUAUCUUGUCCAGUAAGGGGCAAUUGCGCCAAAAGAGAUUCCGCAUGCAACUCCUCCCUAAAAUCACAAGCAUAAUCCUAAUGUGCCUUGUUCAUUUCAUGUCGGAUACAUAGGGCAUUCUAUAGAGGAUUAUUUGGUCCUCAAGGCCAUAAUGCAAGAGUUAAUUGACCAUAAGGUUUUGUCAUUCUUUGACGCAUGACCCAAUGUCAUAAACAACCCGUUGCCAGACCACUGUGGACAAAUAGUGAAUGCAGUUAGUGGCGAAGAUUGCUCAGAUUCAGUUGCUUCUUCAGAGGAGUAUCGAUGCUAGCAAUAUCAUAUUGAUUCAAUCAUGUAUCAUUUGUAAUCCUUUCUUGUUUUUUAAAUGUUGUUCAUUUGUAACUUGUCUGGUUUUUCAGAUGAUAAUAAUAAUGAAAUAAACGUGCAUGUUUUGCUUAAAUCCAUUCGUGUCCACUCAUAUUUUAUUUUAUCAGUAUCAAACUGUUUGUCGAACAAAAUCAAAAGAGAAUGAUGCAAUUAAAAAUACGCAAGAUCGCUGCCUGUAUGGUUUUGAAUAAGAUCGUGCUGAUGAUGUAAGGCAUUGUUCAAUCCCUAAACACCGGAGAUAUAAGGAAGAUAAUCCCUAGUCAACCCCUUUGGGUAUUGUAAUAGGAGUUUCUUUCUUGAACACAUAAAACCCUCAUGCUUAACCAGGGGCAGAGUAUUCUUCAGUUAGUUUAGACUUGCAUUCAAAUUUAAGAAGGACAAUAUCUCAUCCAGUGAUCAAUCAUAUCAUAUCCCUCUCAAGAGGAUGGAAUCAUAAAUCCAGGAUGGUUAUCCCUUACCCAUCAAAAAGAGUGAGAUAAUCACGACUCGUGCAACAAAUCGAGAAAGCUGUGUCACAAGGUUUUCUCUAGUACAAAAAUAAAAGAUGAAACAAAAUUAAAAGCCCGCUAAGUCAAAAGCUUGAAAACAAGAUUGACUUAGGCAAAAGUCAGGGUAUCCCGGUGGGAUGCAGACCCAAAGGAUCAGCCUAGGAAAAAAUAAGGGUAAACAAAACAAAAGAAUUAGAGGAUCAAUACCAAAAUUCGUAGCGAGAGCAAAUCCCUGUGACUAUAAACAAAAGCAGAAGGCGAGUGGCUAUCGCUCUAAAUUCUCGUGGAUUCCUUAAACCAUCAUUGUUGAUAUUCAAAAUCCUUUCUGAAAGACGAACGCUUAUUUUAAGCUAAUUGAAUAUAGAACUAGAUAACAUCACACAGAAUGGGUGGGUUAGAAUAGGUUUUGAGCCUUAUAUCCUUUCUUUCUGAAACCGUGAACUAGGCCAAGUUACAACCCUCAAAAGACCUAAUUGAAGUAGGGUUUAUUUCAAAAGCAUACUAUGGUAAGAUCGCGUUAAGCUGACUCCUUAAGAUUUUCUUGUCAUAUGUUUGAUACUGAUAUGGCAUUCUAAACAGUGAUUUGUUCACUAGAUGUCAUAAUCUUAGUGAACACACUUGAGUUUUCAAAACUUGCAUGAGCAUGACAUUACAAUUAUCAUUUUAAAAAUGAGCGUUUUACAUGCGAACAUGCAUUUGACACCAAGGAAGCUUACAAUGGGAAAGUUGAUCAAAUUCCUAAUAUCCCAUAGCUCAAAUCUCUUCAAGAGCCCGUCAAUCUAAGGCACCAUGCCAAGAUUUUGCAAAUCUCUCUGAAUCAGCUGUAUAAGGGAAAAGUUUAAUUCGAAGUUCAUAUUGGGGAAGGCCACCUCAAGAGCAUGAGAAGUCAAUCACUCCUAAGAUAAUUAACUAGGAGGAUAUAGUUUCAAGAUGCUGGGGCAAGCCAGUUUGAGAUACUCAGAUGACGAGAUCACUCUAAUUUGUAAUUGGAGAAAUUGGUGCAGAUAUCCAAUACAUUGGGGCAGAGGCAGGCUACGCAGGUACAAGCUCUCUCCAUGUUCUAGACAUAAUCCAGAGGUGUGACAACAAUUUUUCAGCUUGAAGUAGGUUCGAAGAAUCACGUCUGGAGGAUACCAUAUCCUAGCCAAAAAUUUCCACCUCCCUCUAUAUGAGCACCUGGAUUAACCAUUGCAUAAAUCAUUAUCAUGAAUAAAUCACGUCGCUUCACUCAUGCAUACCAUUCAUCUAUCAUAGCAUGAAGCCGUGUGUGAGAAUCAAAGGAAUUAAAGCCCAGUAUUUUAUUGGCAUCUCCAAAUUCCAAACUUGCCUGGUACCUUUUUAAACCAUCUAGUUUGACAAUUCUUCCAAAAUCCAAUUUGCUUGGCGUCUUUUAAGCCCAGUUUGCUUGGUAUCUUUUUUCGACCUUUAGGGUCGAUGAUCCUCUUUUCCAACAUUCAUGGUUGAGGAACCUUUUUUCAAUCUUCAGGAUUGAUAACCUUUUUCCAAUCUUUAGGGUUGACGAUCUUUGUUUCUAACCUUCAUGGUUGUUGAAUCUUUUUCCCACCAUUAGGGUGAUGAUAGACUUUGUUUCCGGCCUUUAAGGUUGAUGAUCCUCUUGCUUUCAACCUUUGCGGUUGUUGAAUCUUCUUCCAACCAUCAUGGUUGUUGAAUCUUUUUCCUACCUUUGUGGUUGUUGAAAAUUUUUCCAAACCUUCUUGGUUGAUGAACUUUUUCAAUCUAUGUGAUUGACAAACUUUUUUCCAAACUGUAAGGUUGAUGACCUUUCUUUUUUUCAAACCUCUGUGUUUGACUUUGUUUCCAGUUUUUGAACUGAUGAUUCAUUUGUGAAACCCCUUGUUUGCAAGAAUAUUUUGGAACUUUCAUGCGCUCUUUGAUUAGCAUACAUGGCCACAUGUUUCAAAAAUGAUAAAAAAAAAUACAAUUUAGCAUGCAUAUCAUGAUCGUCAUUUGCCAUUAAUAUCCCCACAGUACAUCAAAAUCACCAGCAAAUAAACCCGUAAAAAAUCAAGUUGAUAUCCCUAUAUCUCAUACAAUUGUCCUUCAAGGAAAAAAAUUCGGAUACUUCGAUAUUUAAUCCACGCAUACCUUAAAAAGCUGAAAAGCUCUCGCAAUUCGACCAUUCAGGUCUAAGCUGAUUAAAUAGGGGCAGAUGUCGUAUCCUAAAUUUGUCCUCCCUAUUUCAUCUUUCCACUCAAUUUAUCAACUUGAGAUUCAUCUGUACCACAUUCAUAUUUCAUUCAUAUGCAUCAUUCAUUAAUCAUACAUUCAAAGCUUGUGGCCUGCAAAUCUAAGGUUUGUUGAUGGGACAUGGCUCUUCAUAGGCUCAUCAUGUGAGGGGAAACCCUAAUUUCAUACUCUUUUAGACUUUGAUUCAAAAAGGUUACAAUCACGACAUUCAUUUAGUCAUUCAAACCCUUAUUCCUGACUUUGUUGUCUUUCGGUCUCACAAGCUUUCACCUGUGUAUCAUGAAGCCCUAAUCAGGGAAGAUUUGGUCCGGUUGCACCUUAUGGCUUGACUUUUCAUCUUGUGUGUGCUGGAAACCCUAAUUCAUUAGGGAGAGGUGUUUGACUAUCCUAUUAUGCAUGCCUACUGGUUUGGAAUUGCACAUGAUUCAGGUCUUGUUUCAAGCAUCCCUAUGCCCAUCACAUUUAACUUUGCAUAGGCCAUUAACUCAAGUCUUUUGGUAUGGGCAAAUGCAUAGACCCAUAUGCCCGAUUCACUUCAUUCAUAUGAUGCAGAUGAUCAAGGAUGAUUGGUCCAUUUAAGAUUUGGUUCCAUUGGUUCAUUCUUUGUUUCUUAAGCAAAAUCAUUAUUUCAUUUGAAUUAUGUCAUGUGAAAACCCUAAUUCAAAUUUCACAGUUGACUUCGAUUAACUAGUUUACCAAAGUCAACCAUCCCUUUUUGAGUCCAUUAAACUUUUUCAUUAAUCAUUCACACUUAAUCACAUUUUUCGAGCUAUUUGAUGCAUCCAAUUCAUUCAAUUUUCAAAUGUAAUUUUGACCAUUCCAAACAUUUUAACCAUUCAAGGUUAACAAUUUAAGUUCUAUAAACCAUCUUCUUUUACAAUAUAUUUCCACUCAUAAACUUUCCAUAAGCAUUCAAAAUUUUCCAUCAUAAAUAUCAUUCAAUACAAUAAACUUGUCCAUGGUUCGCGCAUUUAAUCCUUUCUUUCCAUCAUUUAUUUGCAUUGCAAUUCUAUUCAUCCAAAGUAUCAAACUUUUCAUAAUCACCAAGUUCCAUUCCAAUACAUUCAAGUUUUACCUACAACUUUCCUUUACAAUUAUUACAAACCAUUGUUUUACAUUGUUACACUAUGUAUCAACCAUAUCCUACAUAACCAUAUUAACCAUUCCAAAUGAUCAAGCAAGAUAGAAUUUCAUUCACUAACCAUACAAGAUAUCUCAAGCAUACAUUUCCAUUUCAAGCUACAUUAUAAUGCAUCAUAAUCCAACAAUAUCAUGAAGCAGCCCAUGGCCUCUUAUGCAUUCACUAGAAAUAUUUCCAUAGCACAAAUUGGCCAUGUCCCAAAAGAUAAUGCACAAAAAAAGCAUGAAAUAUCAUGAUUCUGUUAGGCUCUGUUUUGAAAUUAUUUACCUGAUGAACAACAGACAUAAAUGCCGAUCGAGGUUAUAUGGAAGCUUCAAAUACUGAAAAAGAAAACACACCCAUUGCAUUGAUGGCUACAGCUCUUCCUUUGAAACGCCAUUGAAGCUUCAAUUCGUGGAGCUUAAACCACUGCACCUCUUCGACCUCACGCGGAAAACGCAACAACAGCAUAUGCUUAGAAGAACAGAGGGAGAGGAAUAAGAUUGCAGCAACAUAACAGAAAGAGUGAAGGAACAAAAUUGAGACGAAGAAAAAGGGAAGAGAUCGGUCAAUACCUGUUCGCAGUUGAAGCAUCAAAUUUGGUAAGUCCUUUUGAUUUUCUUUUCUUUCUGUUUAAGUCCGCGAGCACAAUGUUGGAUGGAAUCACAUGUCGAUGAGGUUGAACACAAUCCAUGAACUCUAUUAUCUGUUAGAAUUAGAAUAUUAGGUUAUUAAGUGACAAUUAGAAAUUGUGAUUUAAUUAGAAUUCUAGUAUUGAUAGAUUUUGGAUUUUCAUUAGAAUUAAUUAGAAAUUUUAGAAUUUAACUAGGGUUUUAGAAUCUAUUUUAGACUAAUUAGAUUUUCACAUAAUUAUAUAUAAUUAUAAUUAAUUAGUUUUUGAUUAAAUGUUGAUUAUUAGAAACUAUUUUCCUAAUUAAUCCAUUUAUGCAUAUUGACUAUUUUACCCUUUAGAGGUUAUGUUUGUCAUUUUAGCCAUAAGGACAUGUUCCUUUAGGUUUAGAUCUUGACAUCAAUUUUUAAUCAAGUCUUGACCAAUUAUAUCAUGAUCCCUUAGGAUAGUUUGUAACAAAUUCUAACCAUUAGAUUAGGAUUUAAUCUAGUUUUCAAACUAAUUCAAACCUUCUGAUUCAAAUUGAUCAAAAGCAAUUUUGAUCAAUUAAAUCAUUUGAUAUUGUAUAAUCCCACAGUCUAAUUUGAGUGACACAAAUACUCUUGGUCACCUAAUGAGACUUUUUCGGUAAGUUGUGGAGCUCGAGGCCUCAAGUCAUAUUUUCAAUCAAGGCAUCAUCGGUCAGACCAAGCAGUGGAUAAUACAAGGUACAUCAAAGGUGGCAUCUUUGAGAGCUUGUCAAAUCAAAGUUAUGAUUGUGUGGCAUGAGCCUUGAGUAAUGAAGAAAGAAUGAGACUGAAGAAUUCCUACCCCCAUCAACACAAAGGGCAUCAUGUCAGCAACUUGUUAAUUUUGAUUCAAGUUGCAUGCCAUGAGCCUUAAGAAACAAAGAAUGAUGAGAGUGGGGAAUUCCUAUCCUUGUCUAGAAUAUUCUUGGGUACGGGACGAAUGACCCAGUUGCUCAAAGUAUUCGCCUUUUUCCAUAGACUUUGGUGCAAUUUAAAUCAUGCAAUUGACAAGCCUUCUUCUUCAAGCAAGCAUCAAUCAUUCAACACUUCAAUAGUGAAACACCAUUACCCCCUUUAGUAUUGGACUUUCCUCCUGGAUGUUCAUACAUUUCUUGGGAUUAUUACCUUGGGGUCACAUACCCAUCUCGCAAUCAAUUGCUUCAUGCAUUGCCUAUCAGUUCACACUAUGGCAUACUUCAUUGCUUGCCCUCAACGUACAGACCCUGACAUUCAGCCUAUGGAGUACAUACUCUGGCUUUGUUUCUUCCCCAUAAGGUACAGACCUUGGCAACUUCUUGCAGCCCAUAGAGUAUAGACUCUGGCUUUAUUCCUUGCCUACAACAUACCGAUCUUGGCAUCCUUGCCCUAAUGAGUUCAGACUCUGGCCAUCUGAUUUUGUCUAUACAGUACUGACUUUGACAUAUUAUUAUGCCUUAUAGUUAAGACUUUGGAAUUCAUUCAUCCAGCCCAUUGGGUUCAGACUUUGGCAUCGUACUAUUUUGCCCUUAUGGAGUUCAGACUCUGGCAUUCAAAUCAGUUCAUUUGCCUUAUAUAGUUCAGACUAUGGCAUGCUUAUACAUCUUGCCCAUGGAGUUCAGACUCUGGCAACCUUUAACAUUGUCUUGAAGUCAGACUUUAGAAUUAUAUCUCCUUUUCCCUUAUUGAGUUCAGACUCUGAGAAUCUGUUCCUUGCCUUUGUAUUAGUUCAGACUAUGGAAUUCAUCUAUCUUGCCUUGUGGAGUUCAGACUCUGGCUAUAUCUCAUUUGUCCUUAUGGUUGAUUACCAUCUUUGGUAAGUGUCAUACUCUCGCUUAUUAAGCAAUCACCUUGCCUCUGAGCAAUCCUAUCAAAUCUCCCUUUGCUUUCAGUUGUAGUAGGCUAAACUACGAUUGCUCUGAUUUUCUCAUUGCACGAUGAGAAUACAUAGGCACAAGGGUUCAAAUCCUCCGUGAGCAUACUUAUUUAUUACUCCUACCUUAGGGCAUUUCUCCAUCCAUCUCCAUGAUACAGUCAUAUACUACCUUUAUUCACUUCAUGUGAUAUACCCUAUUCUUUGAGCCAAAUACAUUAUACCUUUGUGCUCCAUCUUGUACCCCUUUGUGAACCAAGAGAUGUUUCUGUUGUGAAACCAAAAUUAAUUUCCUUUGUUUUCGGCUAUACCAUAUAGUGGCGAAUGUUCAGACAAUCCAUAUAUCGGUUUAUUCCAGUUUUACUCUUGGGUUCACGCUUUCACCCCUUGUUGGGGUUCAAAAUAUUAUCCUCUGGUUCAGGCCAUACCUUGAUCACAACUUCCUUUUCAUCUCCCACCACUAGUUCUUUGAACUACGAAGUUAUGAAUUCCUCAUUGCACUAUGAGUAUACAUAGGCAUGAGGGCCCUAAUCCUCACCGAGCACUCUAUCUAUUUCUUUUCAUUUUCCCCAUUCUUUUGCGAGUAAUCUUUAGAUACAACACUCAUUCGAGCGAGAACAAUCAAAACGGUUCCCAUGGAGUACCAUAGAUGUUAGGGAUGCUAAUACCUUCCCAUUGCAUAAUCAACUUCCUUACCCAACAUAUCUCUUUCCCCUGGGUUUUAUCGAUGUGUUCGGGUAUAUUUCCGCUAGCUGCAUCACCAACUCCAAAAUCUCAAAAAAGUGUUUUUAAAGGAACUCGCAUUAGCAAACCACCUCCUUCACCGUCUCUACCAAAAAUUUCAUUCAUUGACGAGAUGUUAUUUUUUUCAUAAAUACAUCGAACAAAUCGUCAAUGUUGAGGGUGACGGUAAUUGCGAUUUUCGAGCUAUUUCGAUUUUGCUGGGUAAAGGAGAAGAUGAUCACACACUUGUCUGCCAUCAACUUAUCCAUGGUUGAGGACCCAUAUAGAAUUAUACACACGACUUUACCGAAAGAAACAAAAUUUUGAUGCAAUUUAUGAGUCUUUUAUUCCUUGCAUUAGUGGUCCGAAACCAGAGGAAAAAUGAAUGUGCUUCCCUGAAAUGAGUCAUCUCAUAGCAAGUGCAUCUGAUAAAGUGUGUAUUGGUCUUACAAGAUACGAUUUUUUGGAAACUUUUUUUCCACUGCGCACCACCCAACCUCAAAAUCUAAAUGAUCGUAUUUUGUGUAUUAGAAUACCUUUAAAAUUACGACACUUUGUUCAAAUUUAUUUGAAACGGGAUGUCGUAUACCACUUACAUCAGUGGAGUGGACAACUCAUUCAACAAUAAAAUCCGGGACUUAGACGGGCCAAUUUAUGGAAAAGAUGCAAGAGUUUACCAAAUUGAGCGACAUUGAAAGUGAAUAUAAUGCACAAAAGUCAAAGGGGGAACCACUCAUACUUAUAAAUUUAGCCAUCGACAAAUAUUUCGAUUCGUUUUAGUUUUUCGUUAUCAAUUAAUUGUAUAUAAUUUUGUAUUAAUAGUAAGGGUUAAUAACAUUUUUAUAGAAACAUUCUAGUUGUACCUUGGGGGGAAUGACCCAUGAUUGAUGCUUACGUGUCAUGAUAAAUAUCAUGAUAUAUUUUAGUUUUUAGUUUUUUAAUUACAUAUAUGCUUACGUGGACUUACAGUUUUUUAUUUAUGAAUUAUUUCUAUUUUCAUGUGAAAAUUUAUUUUCUUUUUCAUUUAUUUUAAUCAUAACAAUUAUCAAAACUACUUUAAGAAAGUUCUAAAAUUUUGUCAACAAUGAAAUUCUCAUACGGAUUUGGCAAGGAACUUUGAAAGGAGAUUUGAAAGCGUGAACCACAACCAUAGAUAGGAAGAAGGAGAAUUAGGGUUCAACAUAGUUUGAACCGUGUUUAUGUUUAUGUUAGGGACCGAUUCGGGCUAGACCCAAUCUAGGUUCGGUUGAUCCACUAACCAUUAGUUUUUUUUUUAAAUUAUUUUGUGAGUAUACCAUUUGUUGUUUGGCCUUACCUAUUUGUGACUUGGGCAAACCCCACUUUAGGAGCCAUCUUGUCUUAUUUAUUUAUUUAUUUUUGUCUUUUCCUCAACCUUUUUUAUUGCAUUAAUAUUUUAGUAAAAGAAUAUAUAAAAAACAUAAACUUUUUCAUGAAAAAAAAGGUGGUUUACAAUUUUAUAAUAAUUGAUUUUUAUUGUUAUUUCAAUUUUUUUAUCAAUAAAUAAAUAAAAGUAGACAAAAUUUGUUUGAUGCGUGCCUUAGGGUUUCUUUUUCCUAUCAAGCUAUAUCUCAAAAGAAGAAUAUUUCUUUAAGAAUUAUUCCUUUUUUUAAAAAUAAAUUUGAUUCCAUUAUGGUUUGAUUUGUUUGAUCUUUAUUGAUUGUGUGAAUGCUUGUAUUGUUCAUACUUGAUCCAUGAUUUAUGUAACCUUUCACUUAGACCUUCGAUUGUUAGUAAGAUAAAAGUAAAUGUGCAAUAAAAUCAACCUUUUAAAAUAAGAUUCAAACACUCUAUCGAUAUGAAUUUGGUUUUAAAAAGAUCUCACUAUUUUCACCAUCCAUUCAAAGUUAAUUUCAAGUCAUCUCACAAAUUAUUUUCAUGCUAACACGAAUAAACCCUCGAUCAACAUCGAGUUUCUUUUUUGCUUAUUAAAAACUUGAAAAUCAUUUUCAUAAUAAAUCAGUUGAAAAAGGAAUGGGAGGCGCACACAUCUCUACUCCUCGAAUAAGUGAGUGAUUGGUAGACUCCAUAUUGCUCUAACUUUCAUCUUCCGAAUAAAAUAUCCUAAAUAAACAUGGAUGAAAAAGGAAGAGAGGCGCACACAUCUCUACUCCUCGAAUAAGCAAGUGGAAGACACACACCUCGCUACUGCGAAUAUUUUUUCUUCCGCAAAUAAUUUUCAAAAUAUUAAAAUCAAACAAAAAAGGAAUGGGAGGCGCACAACUUGUUGCUCCUCGAAUAAGUGAGUGAUUGGUGCGCGCCAUAUUGCUCGAGCUUUCAUCGUCUUCCUACAAAACACUAAACCAAUCAAACCUAUUUUCUCGCCCCCUUCGUUCAUCCCAAGACGAUGUAAACACGCUUCAUUUCUACCAUGCGCAAGAAGUUAUAACUCUUUUCGCUCGAAUGUGACGAGAACAAAUUUGUGAGAAUCUGGAUUAUGUUAUUCAUUCUAAUGUGAUGCCAAUGUUCACUUCUCCAUGUUUUUAGUAGCAAAUAAUGUUUUCGCUCGAAUGCGACUAAGUACCUUUCGUAAAAACUGAUCAACAAACAAAAAAUUUCUACCCAGAACUACGUAGCCUUGAGUUUUUCAUCGCACCUGAGAUAUGUAGAAGCGAGACCCGUAAUCUCGUCAGGCACAUUAAUAAAAGAAAACAUUUUGCGACCCAUUUUGUUUUCUCUUUACACUUUUGACCACUCGAAGAAAACAUAUGACAUAAGCUAAAAUUUCAACCACAAAUCUAACUAAAUGGUUCCCGUUGAGUGUAACAGAUGUGAGGGGUGUUAAUCCCUUCCCCUCGCAUAAUCGACUCCCAAACCUGAAUUUGAUUGUGACAAACAUUUUCUUUUUCUUUUAAGGAUUUUAUCAAUAUUUCCCCUCCUUUUUGGAAUAAAUCAAUUUUGAUGGUGACUCUGUUAUCUUGACCAUGCAAGCGCUCAUGGUCAUUUUUCGCGUCGCGACACUACUGUACAAUAGUUAUCUGUAUCAAAAACUAAAAUAUUUGUGUCUGUAUCUUGUUGUCUAGGAUUGUUGGAAACGAGAAGGAUGGAAAAAUAAAGUGUGUUUAUUUUUCUAUGUUGUAAAAUCACAAGGUGGUUUUUCUUGGUGAUUAAGUUAGAAUCUUGUGUAUAGAAUCUAGGUUUAGGCUUGUACAAAAUAAUAACAAUAUUGAAAUCUCUUAUAGUGUCUAAGGGGACUGACAUACUCUCAGAUUGUGAUGGGAACUAGUAUGAUUUUCGAUGUUAUUUACUUUAUGCACUUUACUGCUUUCACCACCUAACCAUAAACCAAAAAAUAAAGAAACAUUCAUCUCUAAAAACAAUGUACUUACAGCGAGAGCAUGAUAUUCCGCUUCAGUACAUGAACAAGACACAAAAUUUUGUUUCUUUAAGCGCUAUGAAAUCAAGGAGUUACCCCAUAACACAUAAAUGCUAGUGUAUAUUUCCUAGUAUCCAGACAACGUGCCCAGUCGAAGUCAGCAAAACCAUGCAGCUUUAAGGAAUUAUUGCUGGCAAAAAAAUGCCUCGAGUAGGAAAUGCCUUCAGAUACUUCAAAACUCGAGUGGCUUCCUAACGGUGAGGAACCAAGGGGUUAGCCACAUAUUGGCUAAGGUGACGGACAAUAAAAGAAAUACUUGGCCGUGUGUUUGUAAGGUAAAGUAGCCUGCUAAUUAAUUUACAAUAUGAAGAAGGGUCCUCUAAAGGAGUACCUUCACUAGAUGAGAGCUUCAUGUGAGGAUCAAUAGGUGUGGAGACAAGCUAAGCCCCAAGAAAACCAGUGUCCUCAAGCAGCUAGAGCAUGUAUGUUCUCUGGCUGAGAAAGAUACCAGAAGUAGAACGUGCAAUUUUGAGGCCCAAGAAGUACCUUAGUUGACUGAGAUCUUUAAUGCAAAAUUGUUGAUGCAGGAAAGACUUUACUUGUUUAUUCCACAAUCGAGUCGCUUGUCAAGACAAUAUCAUCAAUGCACACUGAUAAGGAAGUGAAACCAUGAGGUGUGAUCUUGGUGUAUAAUGAGUGACCAACAACAGAUUGAGAGUAGCCUAAUGAAAUGAGAGCUGAAGAAAGCUUAGAAUGCCAUUGUCGACUGACCUGUUUCAGUCCAUACAAUGAUUUUUUUAAGUGUACAAACCUUGUUGGAUUCAAGAUUACCAUAGCCAAGAGGAAGAGACAUAUAUACUUCUUUAUUUAGGUCUCCAUGAAGGAAGGAGUUUUUAACGUCCAGUUGCUCAAGGUGCCAGUGUUUGACAGCUGCAAGAGAUAAAAGAACACGAACAAUAGUAAUUUUGGCAAUUGGGAAAAAAGUAUCAAAGUAAACUACAUGUUCUAAUUGAGUGUAACCCUUGGCUACCAACCGGUCCUUGCAUAUAUCAAUAGAGCCAUUGGCAUGGUACUUGACUUUGUAUAUCCAUUUACAACCAACUGGAGUUUUGCCUAGAGGAAGGUCCACAAUGGUCCAAGUUUGAUUGUCCUUAAGAGAUGCAAUUUCAGUAUCCAUGGCCUACUUCCAACAGUCAUGUUUAGAGGUAUGAAGAUAGGUUUUUGGUUUAAAUAUGGAUGAAAUAGAGCAACAAAAGGAUUUGUAAGUUGGAGAGCAUUUUUUAUAUGAUAUAAAGUUGGAGAUAUGGAAGGUAGUGGAAGAGGAGUUAUUUAUAGAGGCAUAUCUAUUUGAUGAAAGAAAGAGAUUACAAUAAUAGUCUUUGAGAAAACUAUGAGGGUGUUUGGUUCUCAUUGAUUUUUGAGUUAGUAGUGUGGAUUGGUUUUGGGGAAUGUCUGAGGGAGGGUUAGAAUUAUGUGGAUACAUGUUAUCAACUAAGGUAUCAUGAAGGAUGUUGGGUUCAAAGUCAAUAACACUAGGAUCUUGGGUACUUGGUGAUGGAUUAAAAGUAGUUUGAUAUGGACUUGAGGUACUAGAGUCAAUCAAAGUAGGUUGAUUGAGACUUGGAAGGUUAGGGAUAAGUCCUGUUUCAGAAGUAAUAGGAUAAUCAUAAGAAUUUGUGACUGGUGUGACAACAGUAGAAGGAGUGGACAUAUGAGGCUCAGGGGUCAGAGUGAGGGCCUGAGGUGUAACAUAGUCAAUGUCAUAGGUGAUGUCCAUCAAGCUAUGAAUAUAAGUAGGGAGAUUUGUGGCAUUACUUUUGAAUGGAAAGGUGGUUUCAUAAAAGAAAACAUUUAGAGAUAUGAAUAAGUUAUGAGACUGAAGGUCAUAGAGAAUAUAACCUUUAGUACCAUCUUUGAAACCAAGGAGAAUGGCUUUUCUAGCCCUACCAUUGAAUUUUGUUAUGUGGGUCUGUAAAGUUGUUGAAAAACAUAAACAAACAAAGACUUUCAAAUGAACAAUAAUAUAUUAAGUUUUGAAAAAGCAACUCGUAUGGAGAUUUUGACUGAAGUUGAGGACUAGGGAUCCUAUUAGUCUUGUGGACAACAUGUUGAAUACUGAAGUUCCAUAGGUUUAAAGGAAUAUGUGUUAAUGUUUUCUCUCAACCACCCCAUUUUGCUGUUUUUGUUAUAGUGGUGGUGGUGGUGUGUGUGUGGCGGGGGGGGGGGUGUUCUACACAAGAUUUAUGGCGACUUAUGCCUUUGGAAGGGAAAAAGGAACUAAGAGUUAGGAACUUUGAACCCUUAUAUGACCUAAAGCAUUUAAGAGUGGUUUUGAAUUUAUUUCCUAUUGAGGCAAUAAAAUGUAUUACACUUUGUUUUGUUUCAGAUUUUUCCUUAAUAAAAUGACCCAUGUAAACCUUGAAAAUCCAUCAAUAAGAGUUAAGAAAUAUUUAUAGCCUAAAAUAGAAUCAGUAGAAAAGGGCCCCCAUAAAUCAACAUGUAAAAGUUCAAAUGGAGCAUGAGUAUGAGUAAGACUAUUUAGAAAGGGGAAUUUCUUUUGUUUUGCAAAAUGAAACGAAUCACAAGGGUUCAUGUUAUUUUUACAAGGGAUGGGGGGAAAAUGUUUAGCCAUAGUUUUCAUACUGAAAUUAGAAAGGUGGCCUAGUCUUAGAUGCCAAAGUUCAAAGGAAUUAGAAAUAACAUAAUUACUAGUGGAAUAAACAUCACUAAUAUCUAUCACAUAGAGGCCUCUGUGCCAUUUAGUUGUACCAAGCAUUUGCUUUGGAUGGUUCUGCAAAAUAUGACACAAGUUUGAAGAAAAUUUCAGAUAGCAAUCAAUAUUGCUAGUCAAUUUUGUGACUAAGAUUAAAUUAACAUGAAAGUUAGGAAUAUAGUGAAAAUUGUAAAGAGUUAAGGAAAGGGAAAUGACAAUGUUUCUAGAUAUGCAGGCAGUCAUGUGAGAUUCAUUUGGUAAGGAGAUUAAGCUAUUGAUUAACUUAACUCACAAAGAAAGAGUCGCCACAACGCUUUUAUUAUUUCCAAAGAAAAUAGAAAAAGAACGAACCAAACCCAAAGAAGUUUAAAAAAAACUAAUAAAAACAAAGAUAAGGGUCCAGGGGUUGGUUAUGUACAGGGAAGAUACUAGCACCCUAAGCAUCUAUAGUACUCUACAGGAACAUCUUUGAAAAUAUGUGCAUUUAGAUUUAAAAUGGUGUUGUUUACAAAAGAUUAGGGAGAUGAAAAGAGAUUUUUUUUUUAUAAUUUUUGUGUUUGCCAAGACUUUCUGAACCUCGUGCCUACGUACCCAUAAAGUGCAAUGGCGAAUCAAAACCUCGUAGUUCGUGGUAAAAAUAACAAAGAUGUUUGCUUUGAUUCAUUUUUAAUGAAUUUUUUUUUGUCAUUUUAAGAAGAACAUUCAACUAGCCAUCCACAAGUAUGGGAACUUUGCAUCACCAUGAGAAGGACUCUAACUUGGAUAAAUAUCAACUAGCUCUCUUAUAUAGAAAAGAAUUAUUAUCAAUACUAUGGGGAUAGAAAAAUUAUAUAUCAACUAUGGAAAUGACUCGUGUCUAAACUUUGAGAAAAAAGUUUUAAAAAGGAAAAAAAAAAGUGCACAAAGGGCACAAAAAGGUUUGAAUGAGUUAUGCAUUUUUAGUUUUUUGAAAUUGGUUUGAAUAUGAUUAAGAUGUAUUAGAAUUUAUUAAUAAAAGAUUUUGAAAAGAAAUCACUUGAAAAAAGUCAAGGUUUAUUGAGGAAGUAGUUCAAGUUUGAAAACAAGAAUGUUUUGAAAAAAAGAGAGAAGAUUUUGAAAAUCAAAGAAGGGGAGGAGAGGAAGAGAUUAUCCUAGAACAUAAAGUAAAAGCUAUGGAGGAAAGAUCCAACCAAGAGAUAACAACAAGAAUUCACUCCUUUGGAUUAAGCCUUAAGCAAGUCAAAUAAGCAAAGAAUAUUCCAUGUAUCAGAUGAAACCAAAGUAGCCAAGCAAAAUCUUCAAAAGAAUCUCAAAGUCAAAGGUAGCAGAUGAAUCUCAAGGUCUCAAAUCAGAAACUCCCAAAAGAUAAACAAGUAUGCCACUAGUUCUCUUAGAUGGAAAAUAAUUAUCAUCAAUACUAUGGGUAUAGAAUAAUUACAUCUCAACUAUGGAAAUGACUCAUGUCUAAACUUUGAGAAAAAGUUUUAAAAGAAAAAGUGCACAAAGGGCACAAAAUAGUUUGAAUGAGUAAUGUAUUUUUUAAGUCUUUUGAAAUUGGUUUAAAUGUGCUUAAUAUUUAUUAGCAUUUAUUAAGAAAAUAUUUUGAAAAUCACUUGACAAAAGUCAAGGUUUAUUGAGAAAGUGAUUCAAGUUUGAAAACAAGAAGGUUCUUGAAAAAAAAAGAGAAGAUUUUGAAAAUUAAAGAAGGGGAGGAGCUAAGAAGAUUAUCCUAAAACAUAAAGUAAAAGUUAGGGUGAAAAAUCUAACUAAGAGAUAGCAAGCUUUAUGACAUGUGUUAAGUAAGAACACUCUCCUUUGGAUUAAGCUUCAAGCAAGUCAAACAAGCAAAGAAAAAUCCAUGUGUCAGAUGAAACCAAAGUAACCAAGGAAAUUAUUUAAAGUAAUCCCAAAGUCAAAGGUACCAGAUGAAUCCCAAGGUCUCAAACUAUAAACUCCCAAACAAGGGUCAAAAUUCUAGUUCUAACUCCGUAACUCCAUAAUAAUCCCAAUGAUAGUAACCUCAAGUCCAUGAAUUAAGAGAACCAAUUUUUAGGGGUUUUUUCCUUUAUUAAUGUAUUUAAAAGAAAAAGAAGUCUAAAUGGACAAAGAAAAAAAGGCAUAAACAUAAACAAAGGUCCAAGUGGACAAAUAGAAAAUAGCAUAAAUACAAACAAUAUGAUAUGCGAUGCUAAAAUAAAAUCAUAAAGUUAAUAACAAGAAAUAAAUGGCAAAAAAAUAAAGAGCAUAAGAUAAAUGGCAUUAAAGUAAAUUUAAUAUAAUAAUAUGUUAGUAAGUUGUGUUAGUAAUAAAAAAUUGAAAGAUAAUUUAUCAUUUUUGGGAGAAUACUCAACUAUUCGCCCACAAGUAUGAAAAUGUGGACCUCUACAUCACCAUGAGAAAGACUCCAACUUGGAUAAAAUCAAUAAGUAUGCCACUAGUUUUAUUAGGUGAAAAGGAAACAAUAUUUUUCACACAAUACCAUGGGGAGUAGGAGACUUACAAUCUCACUUAUGAAAAUGACUUACUUUCGGAUUCAGGAUAAAUUUAACGUUAUGUUAAGCAAUCGUAAUUGGACUCAUGUUGAAGUCACAACUAUCUGAGCCCGGUCAAUAAUAAUAUUUAUGUUAAUACAUGCUAGAGAAAUUAUAUGUAAAUCAUUCUCCUAAAGAUAUGCCACACAAAAAAAGGAUGGAUCAAGCACAAAUGUUAAGAGAGUUGUUCAUUACAUCAAUCAAUACUUCAUGAUACUUAGGACAAGCUUAUGCAUCAAUCUAAAGUACCUUAAAUAUUCUAUGAUCAAUUAGGAGGUAGAUUUGAAGUGAUGAAAGUUCAUCAAGUACCAAUUCAUACAUCAUAAACAAGAUGAACACAAACCAUCCAAUUGAUCAAGAGAAAAAAGGAAGCGAAAGAGAUUAAGAAGAAGAAGAAGACGAGAGAAACCAAACUCAAAUUGGAUCAAAGGAUUGAUCAAGUCAUCAUCAAAAUCAAUCAUCCAUCUUGGUAGAUUUGGGUUUUCACCCCAUCAACACCGAAGAUCCAUUGAAUUUGAUGAGAUUUAUGAUCAAAAUAGCCAAGAUCCAAGGUCAACAGAAGUCAACAAAGGUCAAACAAGCAUAAAAUGAAAGAAAAUAAAAUAAAAUGCAUCAAAAAUAUUUUUUAAAUGAAUUUUAAAAGGCAAAUAAAACAAAAAAUUCCAUAAAACCCUUUAAAAUACCAAAUAAAUGGCCAAGAAAAUUAUGGAAGGUUGAAGAUAAAAUAAGGAACAUAAAAUAAAUUUUUCAAAUAUUUUUAAUGCAUAAAAGUAUUUUUAAACUAAUUAAAAAAAGGGGAAAAAGAGGAAAUCCAAGAAAAUAAAAUAUGGAAAAAUAAAAAUCAGAUGAAGAAAAAAAAAAGAAAAUUUUAGAAAAUAUUUUGGGAUUUUUUGGAUAAAAAAUGAAUUUUCUAUAAAUUUUUAAAGAAAAUGCAAUUUAAAAUAAAAAAUAAAAAGAAAUAAAAAACAGAAAAAAAUAGAGGCAUUGGAUCUGACCUCAUUAAUUGACGUGGCAAAUCCAACAACUAUCAGGCUAGGGCGCAUGGUGGAAAAUAGUUAGAAUAAAACAUGGAAUCACAUUCAAAAUGGACCAAUCAAAACAUUUCAAAAUGCCAACGUGGAUAGCCAACUCAGAUGGCCUGAAACAAAUCCAUUCAUCUUCUUCGGUAAUCCCUCAUCGGAGUUUCAUCAUUUGACAAAGUAAGAACAUGAGACUACCACCAAUGUGAUCGUCUCCUCAUCACGAAUUCAACCUAAUGCUCAAAAUUAAUUUAUCUAAAUUGAGUAUGGAGAAUUUCAGAGAAGUUUUAGAAACAAGCAAGUCACAAAAAGUAAAAUUAAAUGAUGAACAUUAUCACUCAACACCAGAUAAGUUAGGGGAAAGCAUAAGAGGGUGAAGGACUACAUUGUGGUAACUCGUUUGAGUUCAAAUGAUGCUCAAAACUACCUUGUCCAAAUGUAGAUCGGAGGUUGAAGAAGCUUGAUCUGGUCAGGGCACUUCAGAAGGUCUUACAGAUUGAGAAUUAUUGCAAAAUCUUCAUAGGAGACUGAAAGUUUUAAUUGAAUCAAGAAAUUGAACUGAAACAAGCUAGAAAUCAAACACGAUAGCUCAAUUUUCUAGAAAUGUUUAAUAGUGGAGCAGGGGUUUUUUAGCUCUCCAAAGCUUGGGAAUAAGGCAAAUAUAUUGCUCUAUUUAUAGGGAAGUGAUUGGUGAUCUCAUACGUGCCAAAUGAUGCUUAAUUCGUGCAAAACAAAUUUGCUCAUGAUGUGAGAAAAGUGUGACUUGUAAAACCAUCAAAACUCAGCCAAAUUAUGCAUUAAAUGAUUCAUUUAACUUUUGAAGACUUGAUUAAUCAUGUUUAGGUCCAAAACGUGUGGUAAAUUGGCUUGUAAUUAAGGAUUAGUGAAGUUCAAAAUUCUGAACAUGGUGAUUUCUUCAGUUCCAAGUUACCAUGUUUAAUUCAAUGGGGCAUCUUGCCUAGGAGGCUUUUUGAUCUCAUUUUUCUUGCAAUUUUUGGACAUCAUAUCAAAGAUUACAAUGUGCCAAGAAAGGUUGCAUUUGGAUGCUUGAGCAGAAGUUUAUGGCAUGUUAAAGUUGGCACAAAAAUUUGGUUAUGCAACUUGGAAAAUUCUAAGUCCCAGAUGGCUAAAAAUGACCCAUAAUGUCUCAAAGAAUUCCAUGGUCUUCCAAGCAUAAUUUGACUUUGAUCCUUGAAGAAAACUUGUAGAGGGCAUCACAAAUGAUAUUAUUCAAAAAGAAUCAGCGUCAAAUGUUGGAAAUUGAAGAAGUUAUAAUCCUUGAAAGUUGAGAAAAAGUCACUUGAAAAUAGGUCAAAUUUCACUAGGUCCACAAAUGACCUAUAAUGUCUUCAAACUUUUGAUGAUCCUCCAUGCAUAAUUGGAUCUUGUAAUGUAAAGAGAAGUUAUAGAGGAUAUUUAGAAGAGUCAUAUGCAAAAAGAAACAUUCAAAAAUAUUGAGGAUUGAAGGAAUUGUGAACCUUGGAACUUUGACUUCAAAUGUUGAAUUUUUGGUCAAACCUCUUGGAAUAAACUUGUGUACUUGGACUUUUAUUGCAUUUCAAGGUACAUGGAUGAUCAUAUGAACUAAAAAUAAGGUGUCCUUAAAUUUAUUUUUAUUAAAUUUCUUAAAGUUUGAGGUAACAUAUUGAAGAAGGCAUGGAAAUAAACACAUGAACCUUUGCCUUUUCUUGAGACCGAUUAUCCACUUUUGUGUAACCGAUUACAAGCGCAAUAUUUUGAUUUUUCCUGCUAUUUUACUUGGUCAAUUCAGUUCCCAAUUGUGUUGUAUCUCUUGUAUAAGUGUUUAGAAUGCACACUCAUCUAAGGUUAAUGCAAUAAUAAUCUCUCACCCUUAAUUCUCCUCUUUCACACUCUACAUCCAAAGUAUCUCCACCAUUGUUCAUCAAACUUGUUGUGUCUUGUUCCAACAUUUGACAUCAAGAGUCUGGUUCAGAUCCACAAACACCUAGUGUGCAACAUGAAUUAUGUUUCCAAUGAAAGAAUCCCUGCAAACCUACAUAUCCUUGAUGCGAAGAAUUAUGAUAAAUGGUGCAAGAAAAUGAAGAUGUUGUUUGGCUACCAAAAUGUUCUUAAAGUAAUCAAGAAUGGUGUUAGCCCUCUUGUUCAAAAUGCAACAGAGGUGCAAAAAGAAACACAUAAGAAAGAGAAGAAGAAAUACUUCAAAGUGUUAUUCUUGAUCCAUCAAUGUGUUGAUGGCGACAAUUUUAAGAAAGUUGGUGAUUGCGAAUCGUCAAAGCAAGUGUGAGAGAUCUUAGAAAAGACAUGUGGAUGGGUUGACAAGGAAAAGGUGGCGAGGUUACAAACUUACAAACACCAGUUUGAAUUGAUUCAAAUGGAGGAAAAGGAGACAAUAAACUAUUUUGCAAUGAGAAUCACCCGGUUGGUGAAUCAAGUGAAGGCAUGCAAAGAAACUGUUACAAAGCAGUAUGUUGUCGCUAAAUCUUGCAUUCUUUAACACUAAGAUUUGACAAUAUAGUUGUGGCGAUUGAGGAGUCAAAGGAUCUCACGAUGAUGAGUAAAGAGAAGCUGCAAAGUUCUCUCGAGGCUCAUGAUAAAAGGAUGGAAGAGAGGAAUAACGUUAAGGCAAAGGCGGAGAUCGCUUUGCAAGCUCGUUUCAAUGAGAAGGACAAGAGAUCGAAAGGAAAAUGGCCCAAGAAAAGAAAAGGGAAUUUUCAUAAUUUUGGUGGAAGAGAGUCCUAAAAUUCAAAUAAUUUUACUUGUCAAAGGGGUGAGAGCAUCUUCAACAAACAUGGUGGUCAAGGCAACUUUAGAGGUAGAAGGAAGAGGUUUGACAAGAGCAAGGAGUAGUGCUAUAAGUAUCAAUGGUUUGGCCAGUUUGCAAAAGAAUGCAAUUUGAACAAGAAGGAAUCUCAAGGGGAUGAAGCCAAGGUUGCAAGAUAAGAGUUUGAUAAAGAGAAUACAUUUUUGGUCAUGAUCAAAGAAGGGAAUUGUAGCAGCAAACAACUGCGGGACAACAACUACAACAACUCAACGAAUGCUGAAUAGGUUGGUUGAAUGAUACGAUUAACCAAUUGCAUGAAGAGGAAGACGCCAUGAUGAGUUUGAAAGGAGUUCAAUGCAGUGAGGAGUGGUAUUUGGACUUGGUUUGUUCAACUCAUAUAACGGGAAUAAAGGAUUGGUGUGCCAAAAUCAAUUGUGCCAUGAAGAACAAAGUAAAGUUCGCGGAUGACACCACUCUAAUAUUCAAUGGGAUCAGUGAUGUUUUAAUCAUGAGAAGGGAUAAUGGACAUUCCUUGACCAUAAAUUCUUGUACAUUUAGGGAAUCAAAUGUAACCUUCUGAGUAUUGGCCAAUUUCUUGAGAAGGGUUAUAAGAUUCACAUGGAAGACAAGGGGUUGCGGGUUAUGGAUGUAAGAUGAGUCUUGGUCCUUAAAGCGCAUAUGGAUGCCAAUAAAACCUUUAAGGUUGAGUUGAAGGUUAUAGAGCAUAAAUAUCUUGCUACUGUAACAAGUAGACAAUAUUGGAUUUGGCACUAUCGUCUUAGGUAUCUCAACUUUAGAGAUUUCAAAGACUUUCAAAAGAACAGAAUGGUAACGGGGCUGCCAUCGAUCAACAUACUAGCUGAAAUUUAUGAAGAAUGUAUGCAAGCGAAGCAACAUAUGGGAAAAUUAAGAAAGUAGAUUCUAUUGGUGGCAAUAUGUAUUUUUUCACAUUUAUCGAUGAUCAUAGUACGAAGCUAUGGACAUACCUAAUCAAGAGAAAUGACGAUGUAUUUGAUGAUUGUUUGUCAUUGCAUAUAUUUAAUCGAAGAAUCAAAGAAAAAUAAGUGAAAUUUGAGAUAAAAUGAAGAAGAAUGAGGAAAAAAUAGCUAAGUGUGAAAAUUGUGGACUUAUUGAAAAUUUGAGUGAAAAGGGGAGCAAAACCGUGCAACCACGGGAAUAAUCACGCGCACCAUCACAUAGCAUCGUGCACGCGAUGGGGUCUUUAAAGCAGCAUUACACGCGCGAUACAAGGAAUCACGCGCGUGAUAAGUACUUUUUAUGGGCUUUUUAGACACGUUCUAGUCCAUUCUAACGCCUUUAAAAGAGGAUUUUCUGCACUUUCACAAGGGUUACAAAAUUGGGAGAUCUAGGCACGAUUUUGAGAGCACAAGUGGUGAUUUUUAUAGCAUUGGAAGCUAUUGGAGGCCAUUACUUCAACGUAUUUCACAUGUUAUUUUCAUCUAUCAAUUAUGGCAUUUUUAAUUGCAUUAUGAGUAGCUAAGCUCUUUUAUAUUAGGUUGUGUUAUGAUGAACCUAUUUCUAUAUUGUUGGAAUCUAUGUUGAUUUAACCAUUCUAAGAACCGUUUGAACUAUAAUUCCAUUCAAUUGCUUUUUGUUCAUAAUUCCUUUUAUGUGAGAUACUCUUUUAAUCUGAUUUUGGGCACAUAGGGAAUAUUGACUAUUAGUCUAUGUGUUGGACCUAGGGAAAUUGUUGUACUUACGCUGGUUGAAUAGGAAUAGGAGACCCUGAGUAGUGGCAUAGAGAAUUAAUGUUUUAUACAUCACCUAACCUUGCUUACGCUGGCAGACUAGGGAUAGAAAGCUCUGAGUAGUGGUUAGUGAGUUAUUUCGCGAGGGAUCAGCUAUAACGGUUUUGUUAAUUCGAUGUGGUGUUAUAGUGAUAAGACCAUUCGUAAAAGAUAUAAAACAUCAACAAUAGAGGAAUAGGGGAUUCUAGAACACAAUAUGCUCGUUUUCGUGAUAUUGUUUAAUUGUUUAUUUACUUUUCGCACUGAAACUCGAAAACCCCCCUUUUUACUAGUUUUCUAUAAAUUGCACACAUUUUGUCUUGCCUGAAGGAAAUUCAUGUGGAUUCGAUCUUUUUAUUACUUCGACAAUAUCAAUACACUUAUCGAGAAAUCAUUAAGUUUUUGGCGUCGUUGCCAGGGACUGUUGAUUUUUCAACAAGGCGAUGUUUGUGCAAUUUUUAUUUUUAUUUUUUUAGUCUUUUAGUUUUUUUUUUCUUUUUCUUGUUUAUCAUAGUGCUAUUGAGGUAUUUUUUGUUUGUGUAUGCACAAUUUAGGAUCAACAUUAAUACCAUUGGUUCUAGAAAUUGAAAGAACUACACGUGCUCUCAGAAAAGCAGUUAGAGAAGCAGCUCUGAAAGGAGGAAUACUAGAAGAAGAGCAACUAUCAAAUUCUUCUGACUCUGAAGAAGAAGCUGUAAUGGAAGCUGCACAACCCCUAACUAUGGGGCAUUAUUAUAAAUUAACCGAUGAAGGACACUUAUCAAGAGGGUUUGUGCUGGUAGACCCUGCUAACUUUGAUAUUAAAAAUUAUGUGCUUUAAGGUUUGAGAGAAAAUUCGUUUGAUGGGAACACGAUUAGAGACCCAUGGGUGCAUCUUACACACUUUUAUGAAAUAACUUAAAUGUGCAAACCAACUGAUGCCACUGAAGAGCAGGUUAAAUUGAGGUUGUUUGGGUUCUCACUAAUUGGAAGGGAGAAAGAUUGGUUACUUUGCCUUCCGAAUAAAACGAUACAUACUUGGAAGGAAUUAAAGGAUAAAUUCCUCGAAAUAUUUUUCAUUACUACUCAGUUUACCGAGCGCUAAGCAGAAAUUGUGAAUUUUGUGCAGCAGGAAACUGAGUCACUUUAUGACUCUUGAGAAAGAUUCAAAUUUUUGUUACGCAGAUGCCUGAAUCACAACAUGAAUAAUAUGGUGCAGAUGUAAAACUUCAUUAAAGGUCUCAAGAGUCAAACUCACAUGUUAUUGGAUGCUUCUACGAGAGGUACUAUCUGAAAAAUGAAUGAACCACGGGUAAAAGAUCUCAUUAAGAAGAUGUGUAUGAAGGAGUACCGAUCCAAGAAUGAAAGGUCGGUCAAGAUGGGAAUUGUGGGCACGCCUAAAGGUAUGUUACCUAUUGAUACCCACACUGCUCUUUUAGCUCAGAUUGAAUUAUUAAAUAAAAAUCUAGUUGGAAGCAGCUUAGUUAAAGCUAAUGUAGGCUAGGUACAAGCACUUGGGUGCGAUUUAUGUAGAAGAGAACAUGCGAAUGAAAGGUGUUCAUUGGAAGAGACAAGUGAGGAGGUCCAAUUUGCUAAUUUUUUAAAAAAUAACUUGUAUUCAAACACAUACAAUCUGGGUUGAAAAGACCAUCCAAAAUUCCGUUGGAAUAAUAAUCAAAAUUCAAAUGCUAACUAAGGGAUGCAACAAAGUCAACAAGCUCUGUUUCAAAGGAAUCCCAUCACAGUUGGUAGAGACCUCACAAAAUUUCAUUAAGGUCACUCAAAGUAGAUUUGAUAGGGUAAAGAAGACCCAUGAAUAAAUGAGUAGAAACUAGGAUGCGUCUAUCAAAAUUUUGGAGAUGAAGAUUGGUUAAUUAUCUAGAAAAGUAGCUACUUUGUCAAGCUCAAGUGGAGGAUUCACCAGUAACACCGUUGAUAACCAUAAGAAUGAUAACCCUAAAUAUAGGUUUAAGGGCAAUUACUGAAAAGGAUAAGGAUGAGAUAGUUAAACAAUGUGUGGUUAAGGCAUAUGAGGGUACCUGUAGCACCUCAAAUUUGCACCCCCCAUUCAUGCAUUCAUUUCAUUUUUUAGGUCAUUUAUCAUUCCAUAUUGCAUUGCAUUUUGGCAGUCAGCAUUGGCAUCAAGAGAUUCAUCAGUACAAAAGAGAAAGUUUUUUCUUGAGAUGAAGGCCAAAUGAUUAUACUAAAGAGCUUAUAUGAGCCCAGGUUCAUUUUGAAGCAAAGUUACCAAGUGGUAGAGGCCCAAACUCAUCAGUGCACUUCCAGGUCAUCUGAGGCCCAUACAAGUCAACUAUGCAGUCAACUAAGGGCUUUGAGUUGGGGAAAUGGUUUGAGACACUUCAUUCAUGUCCAAAAGAGGCUUUUUCAUCAUGUCAAACAUCUACCUUGAAGAUUUUGAAGUCAAAUCAAAAGUUUCCAAAAAUGGAAAGUGACCUGUAAUUCAAAGUUUCCAAAAAUGGCAAGUUUUUAGACCACAUUCAACUUGACUUUCCAACAUCAAAUAAGCUUCAAAUGAAUUUUUGGUCAACAUGAAAGUUGAAGAUAUUUCUCUCCUAUUUCCAAAAAGUCCAAGAGUAUGAGUAUCUGAUGAAUGGUUGAGAAGUUAUGAACAAAUGAUUGCAAAGUAUGCAUGGAACUUCAAAGUGCCAUAACUUUUGAUCCAAAACUCCAAAUUGAGCCACUCUUUUUGCAAAAUGCUUGUAUUGACCAAUAUUUUCCAAAUCAAACAUUGCAUUGCAUGAAAUUAACUCACAUGAUCAUUUGUCCAUGCAUGUAUAUUUUGGAGGGAAAAUGGAUAAUUCAAAUUCUAUUGAUCAUACAUGAAAAAUUCCUAUGCCAUUGUGAUCUUUGGAUGAUUUUAAGUGACUUUUAACCAUGCAUGUGCACUGUUCACGUGUAAAAUCUCCAUGCACCACACAUUUACCAUUUUUGCAUUACACCUCAUUUCUCAUUAAGUUUCCAUUAGCCAAGCCUAAUUGUGAUUAGCAUGAUAAUUAACAUGUGAUAUAAAUAGAUAAUCCUAACUGAAUUGGAUGAGAUUACACAUUCUAGAUCUAGAAAUUGGAUUUCCCUCCAAAAAUUCUCUCAAUUCAAACAUCAAAUUUCUACACAUAACUCAUGAAUUUUCUUGCAUAAUUGUGUUCAUCUUGCAUCAUUGAGUAAGAAUCAAGGCCUGGACUGAAGGAUUUGGUGCAGAGUCGAGCUCCACGAAUGCAUGAAAAUGAAGAAGGUUUUCUGAAUUUGAGCUUCAUUUAGGUAGUUUCAAUUGCUAUUCCUUCCAUAAAGCUUCACCUCAAGGUUGAUAGAGGAGACCUGGAGCUGGAGGAGGCUUGAAUCCACGAAAUCAUCGCACUGUUCUUCAAGAAGGUUAAAAUUUGAAUCUCAUUAUUUGCCAUUUUAUGCACAUGAUCUUGUAGGUCGUGCUCCACUGAUGAUUCUGAUAUGAAUAUUAUUGAUUUUGGCUGGAUAUUGAGUGAGUUAUGAUGAAUUAAAGUUUGUAUGCUAAAUUUGUUCUUGCUCGAUCCAUGAGAUAUGUGAUGAUUUAGAGUGAAUUAGGCAUGGAUUUGGAAUGUACGUUAUGCAAGCUUUCGAUCCAUAUCAUUUUUGCAUGAUUCUAGAAUUUUUUUGAUGCACCUUCAUCGGCGUACCACCGGAGAAGAUGACCGAAAGUACUAUUCCGGUCAUCUGGUUCAUGAGCUAGGGUUUUAAUGUGCGCACCUGUAACCAUGCAAGCCCCAGUUCGAUCCUUGGCAACUGUUAUUUUAAAAUCCAUUUAUUUUCUCCCUAUGAUCCAAACGUUGCGUUUUGCUCUAGCGCCCUUGUGAACAAGCCUUGCCUCUGUUCGAUUCUUGGCCUGGCAAUUAUCCCAAUUGAUUUUAUUGAGCGCGCCUAUGACCCUAUAGUCCUCAGUUCGAUUCAGGCGCUUUGCAUUUUUUCUUUUAUUUUCAAUUGAAGCGCUGCCUUGGACCUUUGUGUCCUGAGUUCAAUCCCUGACCAAGUAUUUUUCAUCUUUUAAUUCACAUUUCAUUUUUUCACAUGAUUGUUGUGAUGUCUAUUAUUUUUUGAUGUGAUUUUCCUAAUUUUUGUAUUUCUGGAAUUUUAAAUGUGUUUGUGUGAUUGAACAUGAUGCAAAUAUGACAUGUUAUGCUAAAUGUUUUAUGAAAUGCUCAUAUUUUAUCCAAUUGCCUUGAAAUUUGACAUGCUUGAUCUAUACAUGUGACAUGAUUUUUGAGCUUUUGUUUGGCAUUUUUAGCACAUUCCAUCACUGUUUGGGACACAUGAACAUAUGAUGUAGCAUUUGGUGUCACAUUCUUGACCUUGCUUGUGUUCAUUUUCAUUUGCAUGUCAUUUGAUAUCUUCUGGACCUAAUUCUUUGCAUGAUGCUUGUGUUUAAAAUUUUGAUCUCACAUAAAAAAUUUCAUGAUCAUUGGAUGCAUUUCUGUUUUAAUGUGGAUUUUCUACCUUUUUCUUGCCUUGUGUAGAUGAUGAAUAAGCACCACUGUUGAUUGACUGUUUGGUUUGUCUGAAUGUGAUAUUGACUGUUUGACUUUUGUACAGGUACAUUAGUCGCUUUUAGCUCUCGCUUGAGCUUUGCUUUGGUUGUGGUUGAUAUACCACCUAGGUAAUCACUCUAACUCCAUGUAGUCUGGAAGCCCUGUCGUUUCUUUUGGCAUGCAUUUGGUUGAAGUCCUCCUUAAGAGGCAAUGACUGUGUUUAUUUAUAUUUAUGCCAAAGACCUCCUUGUCGAGGCAUGUUACUUGUUAAGUCCUCCUAAGUGAAGAGGCAAUUGACAGAUGGAAAGGAUUAGCAAUCAAUCCCCUGUUAUUCGUUGAAUCGUUCAUUAUGCUCGCACUAUAUGCUGAUGCUCUUGAACCUAACCCAAGAUCCUUGUAUAUAGAGUCAGUCAAGUGGAAUAGGGUCCCUCUUUCUGGAUCCCCAGGUUUUCAUUGAUUUGAGCUCACCCAGGCCAGGGUUAAGAGCAUGAGGUCUUAUCCUCAUUACCUUUCAUCAGCUUCACCCUAACUCUCAAUGUUAGUGGUUAAGAGCUUCAGCACACCCCUACAGUUUUGGCUUGUUUGUCGAGGUUGAUAUGACCCCUUGACUAAAGCCUUACCCUCAGAUGUUUGAGCCCCUUGUUGGCGUGUUUACUUCAUGUAUAUGUUUUUGUGUGGUGUGAUUGUAUCCCCAUAGGAUUGCUAGACUUCGUAUAGUCUCUCGUUUGCAUGUCAAUUAAGGUAGCAUGGUUCCUUCGUCUAGGACUUCCUUUCUUGCGUGAGCAUUCCUAAAACACAAACAAACUUUAUCUUCUCUUAAGGACACGUUGACUCCUUCUACUACAGGUGAGUAAGUCUCCAAAGGUCGAGCAUCCAUCUAGGACUUCCUUUCUUGCGUGAGCAUUCCUAAAACACAAACAAACUUUAUCUUCUCUUAAGGACACGUUGACUCCUUCUACUACAGGUGAGUAAGUCUCCAAAGGUCGAGCAUCCGGUAGAUUGCAUAGUAACGUUGUUCACCUAAAAAACACAACAAACAGAAAUAGUUUAGCCGAACUACGACAACUCUGAUUCUCAUGUUCAGAUGAGAUACGUAGGCAUGAGAUGCGAUGUCUUGUCGAGUUUGACUGACGACUAACAUUAAUCCUUGCUAGUUUUCAUCCUCGUUGCGAUUCUUUUCUCUCGCCCUCGUUGCGAUUGAGACCUUCCUUUUCUCUUGCCCUAGUUGCAAUCGAGACCCUUCUUCUUUUCGUGUGUGUUUGUUAGGAGUCGGAUAUAAGUCCAUCUAUUGGCAUUCUGUUUCCUGUUUGCGUGUGUGUUUGUUAGGAGUUGGAUGUAAGUCCAUUUAUUGGCAUUCUGUUUCCUUGUGUGUUUGUUCGGAGUCGGAUGUAAGUCCAUCUAUUGGCACUCUGUUUCCUGUUUGUAUUUCCUUGUUAGGAGUUGGAUGUAAGUCCAUUUAUUGGCAUUCCGUUUCCUUUGAGUGUUCUUUUGACGUCUCAGCGUCUCUUUUCAGUGUUUUGUUUCGGCGUGCGUUAGCCGAGCUACGAGUGCUCUGAUUCUUCCUCUGGUUAGAGAAGAUACGUAUGCAUAGGAUGCGAUGUCCUAGCGAGCACGUCUCCCAUUUCCCCGAACUACGUCGACUCUGAUGUUUGUUUCUGACAAACUACGUAGGCCCAGGAUGCGACAUCCUGCCGAGUCUGCUUUCUCCGUCUCCUCUUCCGCCUGUUUAUUAUUCCAUUGCGUGCAGUCUUUGAGCAGUUUUAUUAGCAACCUUAUUCUUUCCUUCUGAGCGUGGAUCCCAUCGAGUACGACGGACGUGAGGGGUGCUAAUACCUUCCCCUUGCGUAACCGACUCCCGUACCUAGCAAUCUUUGUUCGUAAGACCAUUCCUUUCCCUUUUUCAGGUUUACUUCGAGGGUUUCCUUUCCCUCCUUUGGGAUAAAUAACGCACGGUGGCGGCUCUGUGUCUUUUCCCGCCGGUUGUUUUUCGCGAUGCGACAGUACCAAUCAAGGUGACCAAGAGGAAAGAGGAGUCACCAUUGAUCAACUUAUAGACAAAAAUUCUCCUUGGAGGAGAACAAAGAGGCAUAUCUUGACUGAACCAAAUCCUCCUUUACCAGAUUACGUAAAACCACCGUAGCCGAUAAUUAAAAAGAAAUUGGUUCAAGAUGAUGAAGCGGGAAUGUUUGCAAAGUUCAAGGAAGUUCUAGCUACUCUCCAGGAAAGUAUUUCAUUCCAUGAAAUUUUAGAACUAAUGCCUAAGUUUGUUAAAUUUAUGAAGGCGUUUCUAAAUGGGACGGAAGAGAAAUGAAUCAAGGAACAUGUAAACAUGACCGAAAAUGAUGAUAUGGUAAAACCUCAAUCCUUACAACCUAAACUAAAAGACUCAGGUAAGUUUAUUAUUUCUUGUAAUAUCAGUGGAUUCAAUAUUCUGCAUGCUCUAUGUGAUCUGGGGUUUAACAUAAAUGUCAUGCCACUGAAAACUGUCAAAGAAUUAAAAAUGGGUGAGAUCACACUGAAUAACAUGACUCUCACUCUAGUUGAAUCGUCUAUUACUCAAUCGAUUGUUACUUUACGCAACAUAUUAGUAUCUGUGGACGACUUAUUGUUUCCUAUAGAUGUUGUAGUGCAUGAUACAAAAGGAGAUUAAGGAGGAUCUGUUAUUCUUGGACGUCCAUUCUUGGCAACCGAGAAAGCAAAGAUUGAUGUGGACACUGGUCAACUUAUCUUGAAGUCAAAUAAAAGGAAUGUGGUUUUCAAGGUAUUUGACUGGGCAUCUUAUGUGGAUAAUUUGGAUACUUUAUACCAUCCGGAGGAAAAAGGUAGAAAAGUAGACAAAGGAACAAUGAGAAAGGAAGUGACAGGCGUGAGGGUAUCCCUUGCACCUGACGUACCUUAGACAUGGAUUGUCAAGCUAGUUACGUAAAAAAAGCGUCUGAUGGGAGGCAACCCAUCCGUAAGAAAUUAUUUUUAUGUCAUAGUGAAUUUUUAUUUUUCUAACCUUGUUAAUUUUUGUGUUAUGUUGUUCGAAGAGAAAAUAGGUAAAAGAAGAAAAGAAAGAAAAAGAAAAAGGGAAGAAAAUAGAAAAAGAAAAGAGAUAGGAAAGUUUCAGCCCCUGGAAUCAUCACGCAUGAUAAUAUAAACUAGUUAUUUACAAUAAAUUUUUUUGAUAUUUAUUUAAAGAAGCACAAUUAAUAUAAAGACAAUAACACACCAAUCACACAUAAUAAUUUUAGAAUAAUUAUACUCUAAGAUUUUGAGAGUCGUGAUAUCUCCUCUUCUUAAAUGUUUAAGAAUUGGAUCUCUCUCACUAAUCUCUAUCCCCUUAUUUAUUUUAAGAAUAAACAUAUUGAAUUAAUAAAACAUAAUUGCACAUUUCUUAUAGCGAUUAUACAAACAACUAUCAAAGUUGAAAAAACUAAAGAGAGGUCAACUCAAUCUUUAUCAAAUUAAAUUAAAGUUUAUUUUAAAACACAAACAACUAGUUCAUUAAAAAGAUAACUUGUUUAGUACACAAAUGAGAUCUUACUUAAUACAUAGAAAUAAGAUCUUACAAAACAUAGAUAUUAAAAACAUAGGAACAACAUGAAAAGUUUUCAAAAUGACAUAGACAUUGAUUAACAAAGACAUGAAUUAGUUUCGGGUAUUUUUUAACCAUCCAUCAAGGUAAACUUGUUUGGAGUCAGGGGUGAAUUUUUCUUUCUCGGCUCGGAUAUCUUUCAACCAUCCAUCAAGGUAAACCUGAUUGUUGUCUGAGGUGGAUUUUGUUGUCUCGGCUCGGAUAUCUUUCAACCAUCCAUCAAGGUAAACUUGGUUGGAGUCAGAGGGCAAUUUUAUUUUUUCAGCUCGAGUGUCUUUCAACCAACCAUCAAGAUAAACUUGUUUGGAAUCAGAGGUGGAUUUUGUUUUCUCUGCUCGGGUAUCUUUCAACCAUCCAUCAAGGUAUACUUGGUUGGAGUCAGGGGUGGAUUUUGUUCUCUCAUUUCGAGUAUCUUUCAACCAUCCAUCAAGGUAAACUUGGUUGGAGUCAGACAUGGUUUCUGUUUGCUUAGCUCGAGUAUUUUUUAACCAUCCAUCAAGGUAAACUUGGUUGGAGUCAGGGGUAGAUUUUUCUUUCUCAGCUCGGGUAUCUUUUAACCAUCCAUCAAGGUAAACUUGUUUGGAGUCAGAGGUGGGUUUUGUUUUCUCUGCUCGGGUAUCUUUCAACCAUCCAUCAAGGUAAACUUGAUUGGAGUUAGGCAUGGACUUUUCUUUCUCGGCUCUGGUAUCUUUCAACCAUCCAUCAAGGUAAACUUGGUUGGAUUCAGAGGUGGAUUUUGCUUUCUUUGCUCUGGUAUCUUUCAACCAUCCAUCAAGGUAAACUUGGUUGGAGUUAGGUAUUGACUUUUCUUUCUCAGCUCUGAUAUCUUUCAACCAUCCAUCAAGAUAAACUUGGUUGGUGUCACCUGUAGAUUUUGCUUUCUCAUCUCGAGUAUCUUUCAACCAUCCAUCAAGAUAAACUUGGUUGGAUUCAGAGGUGUCUUUUGCUUUCUUUGCUCUGGUAUCUUUCAACCAUCCAUCAAGAUAAACUUGAUCAGAGUCUUGGGAGGAUUUGGUUUUCUCUGCUCGUGUAUCUUUCAACCAUCCAUCAAGAUAAACUUGGUUAGAAUUAGCAAUUUGUUUUUGACUCUUCAAUGGAUUUUUGAGCCAACCAUCAAGGUAAGGUUGAUCAGCUUGUAUUUCUUCUACAUUCUCUUGCUGAAGUUUGAUAUAUCGGGCAAAGCUUCCUUGUCCAUUCUACGAUACAAUUGAAUAAAUGGAUAUUAGUGAGUUAUUUUUGGAUGGUAUAUAUGACUAUAAAAACAAAAUUAUGUGUUUUAUG
RNAcentral lists this long non-coding RNA (67473 nucleotides) under Lathyrus oleraceus (garden pea). Its description in RNAcentral is "Pisum sativum (pea) long non-coding RNA (PSAT_LNC021935)". The record is from RNAcentral. Lineage: Eukaryota; Viridiplantae; Streptophyta; Magnoliopsida; Fabales; Fabaceae.